Molecule: long non-coding RNA, 71321 nt
Filed under: Populus tremula
Lineage: Eukaryota; Viridiplantae; Streptophyta; Magnoliopsida; Malpighiales; Salicaceae
Description: long non-coding RNA (PTRE_LNC001563)
Source: RNAcentral
ACCUCUUAAAAGACUACCUCGUUUUUUUUCUUUUUUGGUAACACUCUUUAAUAACUUAGAUGAAACUUCUGCUAGUUUUUUGCCGUGUCUGAAAUCAAGAAAAGCACUUCUAAUUGACGUUACUAAAAAUGCAGACUUGGUGGAGGACAAGAGCACUUCUGUUGCUGUAGGGAAGGGAGGUGUAAAUGUUGAUGCAGGAAAAGGAAAGCCUGGAGGAACUGCUGUCAAUGUAGGGAAGGGUGGAGUGAAUGUAAACUCUGGGAAAGGAAAGCCUGGAGGAACUGCUGUCAAUGUAGGAAAGGGUGGAGUGAAUGUAAACUCCGGGAAAGGAAAGCCAGGCGGCGGCACCCAUGUCAGCGUGGGAGGCAAAGGUGUUGGUGUUAACACCGGAAAGCCUGGGAAGGGAACCCGAGUUGGUGUUGGCAAAGGCGGAGUGUCGGUGAGCACAGGACACAAGGGCAAGCCCGUAAUUGUUGGGGUACACCCCGGGCCAAGCCCAUUCCUAUACAAGUAUGCGGCAACCGAGACUCAACUACACCAUGACCCAACUGUAGCCCUUUUUUUCUUGGAGAAGGACAUGCAUCCAGGAAAAAUGAUGAACUUGCAGUUCACUGAAAACACUAACACAGCAACUUUCUUACCUCGCCAGGUUGCUGAUUCAAUACCCUUUUCAUCUAACAAUUUGCCAGAAAUCUACAGUGAGUUUUCAGUGAAACCUGGAUCAACAGAAGCUGAGGUAAUGAAGGAAACAAUCAAGGAAUGUGAAAACCCUGGAAUUGAAGGAGAGGAGAAAGAGUGCGCAACUUCACUGGAGUCAAUGAUCGACUUCAGCACUUCCAAACUAGGAAAGAACGUUCAGGCAAUCUCCACAGAAGUGGAAAACCAAACCCAGAUGCAAAAGUAUACAAUUAAGACCGGAGUAAAGAAGAUGGCAGGAGACAAAUCUGUAGUGUGCCACAAGCAGAACUAUGCAUACGCCGUCUUUUACUGCCAUGCAACACAAACCACGAGGGCUUACACGGUUCCAUUGGAGGGUGCUGAUGGAACAAAUGCUAAAGCUGUAGCAGUGUGCCACACAGAUACAUCUGCAUGGAACCCAAAGCAUUUGGCUUUCCAGGUGCUCAAUGUUAAGCCAGGAACCGUACCAGUCUGCCAUUUCCUUCCUCAGGAUCAUGUUGUGUGGUUUCCCAACUAGGAGUCUGGAUCCCAGUCAUUUCGUCUCUCUUCAGUCCACGGUAGCUGAAAUUGGAAUGUUGUAUACUUAUAUAUCUAUUCGGUUUUCACAAUAAUACAUCUAAAACCUACUACAAAAGAUCGAUUAUGUAUAAUAUAAAGCUUGCUGUAGAUUCAGUGAGUCACGGUGUUUAUUAUUAGAUAACGCCUCCUUCUGUUGCUAUUUUCCUAUCCACAUGAGCAUGUAAUGUGAAAAGAGAGACCUCCAUGAGAAGAGUAAACCAGCACAAAGGGCCUAUUUGGGCAUUUUGUUAAUCAUGUCCCCGUUCCCCUCAGAAGAUUUCCUCGUUCAUAGCCGAACUAAAACUCCAACGACGAAUAUUGCUAGCCAUUUCCCCAGCAGGAAGUCCAUUUCAUUACACCGCAAAUCUCAAGAAGACUACAGACAGUCCCACUAACUAUAGUUAUUGACAAAGAUGUUCCAAAAACCUCUGGGAAUGACAGGUUAGAAGAUCCGAGACACCAGGUACCUAGAGAACAUAUGUGUCCAACGAAAACCUCAUGAUGCGUUCCUUGGCACUAAACAUGCCUGCAGAUGUUAUUUUUCCAGGACGAGUUUUACUCUUCUAAUGUCUCCUAACGUAACUAGCAUGUAGAAGAUGGGUAGGAACAACAAUGAAAGCAUAAAUUUAUAAGGGGGUGUUUUUUCAUUAUAUUGGCACGCAAAACCCUAAAAGAACCCGGAUUAGAAUAGGGGGAAAGCCCUGAAAACAAUAACUAAAUAGCAAGAAAUAAACUAUUAUCCUAAACAACAUGACAUAUUCCUAAAUACCCAUAUAAAUAACAUUAUAUUUAUUUAUUUAUUUUGAAAAGGACGUUAGUAUUCAAAUUGAAAUAACUUGAAAAUAGUUCUCCUAACCACUGCUUUAAUCUCAUCCACCACUAAACUCAUCGAUAAAACCAUCCUUCCCAUAGUACACCCCAAAAUUCUUAUGGUGUUUAUUAGCAUACUGAAUAAAAGGUUUAGCAUAGGAGUUGCCUGUUGUCUUUCCAAAGUUGUAAACUGGAUUGCUCUUCUGCAAGAAUCUUAUUCUCUUAGCUACGGCAUUAAUGGACUCCUAUUGCCAUUUGGCUUGUUCAAAUACUUGUACCGGCAUUGUAGUUUGAGGAUCUUCAACAUUGGUCUGAUAUCAUCCUUUACAAAGCUUGAAAUAUAGCAUGAUUCUUAGAGGGAAAGGUUCAGAGCAUUUAUUAAAGAUAUGAGUUCUUCAAAUCUUUCCACAUACUCAUCUACACUCUUGUCUUGUGCUAACUUAUUGAAUUCUUCCACCACAUCCUCUCUAUUGCAAAAUCUUAUACACAAAGCUUUUGUAAACUCCUCCUAGCUUGCUAAAUUUUCUCCUACAUAUAAGAACCCUUUGUACCAAAUUUCUGCCUUACUAUCCAAGUAUAGUGAUGCUAGCUUUAACCCAUUGUUGCACUGGUAUGUAGUUUAACUUGAAGAAUUUCUUGCACUUAUGUAUCCAGCUCGUAGGAUUCUCUCCAUGGAUAUUUGACAGAUCAAUCUUGGAAUUGCCAUAUGAUGUCCCACUCUUGCUGCUUCUUGGUUACCAAAACAAUCUCCUCUUUGAUUCAUAAGUCCUCGCAGAUUCACCCUUUGAAUAAUACCUCCAGUUAUGGUGUUAACUCUUUCAGAUUCCUGACCUCCUCAGUUAGCCUUCAACAUAGUCAUUAUGGCUUCCAAUUAUGAGUUGAUCUGAUCAAGCUUCUUGCCAUGCUCUUCUGUAAUUUCUUGUAGGUGUUGAAUAUGCUCAUCAACCUUCCUGCCAUGCUCCUCUAAAGCCUUGAUCUUGUUGUUUUCCACCAUUGUUGAUAUCUCAGGAACAAAAACAACCUUCCUUUACCCUUGGAAAGUGGCCUUGAUACCAAUUGUAAGAAGAUUCCUUACAAGUUACUAGAAAAGGGAGGAAAAUAAAGGAGAGAAAGAUCUCGCAAUUUCUACAAAUUUUUCAUCAAUGACCACCUGGACUAUUGGUCAUUCAGUCAUAACUAACUUGCCCGUUAUUGAAAGAAUUGUGAACUCUAUAGUGUAUUGUAUAUGUUAAGAAGGCUGUAAUACAUGUGAUUUAUACAAGUUGCAGAAUAGGAAAACAAAUAAUCUAUUCUAAGAAGGUCAAUCACAAAACUAUGAUUGCCUCAAUGUCAGAAAAUACAAUAGGAAAAUAGUAAACAGAAUAAAAAGAAAUACAUAUUACAAUUGUAUAAUAUCUUUCCCUUUAACACUCCCCCUCAAGUUGGAGUGUGAAUGUCGAUUACACCCAACUUGUGAAGAUGGGAUUGGAACAGGGGUGCGGGCAGUGGCUUGGUGAAAAUGUCAGCUACUUGGAAUUGUGCUUUCACAUGAGCAGUCUCACGAACGGUGUGGCAAUCCAAUUCGAUGUGCUUGGUCAGUUCAUGGUAGACUGGAUUGGCUGCAAUAUAGAGGGCAGCUUUGUUGUCACAAAUUAAGGUGGCAGGUGGCGGGGUACUUGUAGAUCCUGUAAGAGGUAUCGUAACCAAGUAAGUUCACAAGCGGUGGCUACCAUGGACCGGUAUUCAGCUUCUGCGGAUGACCUUGAGACAGUAACUUGCUUCUUGCUUUUCCAUGAUAUGAGGGACUUGCCAAGAAAAAUACAAUAUCCAGUAACUGAGCGCCUUGUGAAAGGGCAUCGUGCCCAGUCUGCAUCGCAAUAUGCCGUCAAGUGUAGUGGCCCAUUCGAGGAGAAUAACAACCCUUGGCCAGGAGCUCCUUUGAGGUAAUGAAGGAGCCGAUGAGCUGUGUCAAAAUGAUGCUUCUGAGGGUCAUGCAUAAAUUGGCUGAGUGUGUUCACUGCAUAUGUGAUUUCAAGCCUUGUAAUGGUAAGAUAGAUUAAUCGUCCAAUAAGUCUCCGAUAACAAGUAGGGUCUUUAAGGGGGUUACUCCCUGUAGGCAUAAGAGCAACAUUUGCAUCCAUAGGAAUCUUUUCAGGUUUGGCACCAAGCAAACCUGCAUCUUCCAAGAUAUCUAGUGUAUACUUUCGCUGGUAAAAAGAAAUGCCAGAUUUGGACCGUGCAAUCUCAACCCCAAAGAAGUAUUUUAAAGGGCCAAGAUCCUUAGUUUUGAAACGAGUGCUGAGGAAAUGUUUAAGGUCUCGGAUGGCAGCAUCAUUAUUCCCAGUAAUUAUCAUAUCAUCAACGUAUAACAAAAUGACAGUGAAAGAUUUGCCUUGUGUUUGUGUGAACAUUGAAUAAUCGGCUUUGGAUUGAAAAAAACCAAUGUGUUGUAUGGCAGUUGAAAACUUACAGAACCAGCUUCAAGACGCCUAUUUCAAACCGUAUAUGGAUUUGUGGAGGCGACAGACCAUGUGCUCCCCCUGGCGUCGAUACCCCGACGGUGGAAGCAUAGACUUCUUCAUGGAGAUCGCCAUGCAGGAAGGCGUUGUGCACAUCCAUCUGAUGCAAAGGCCAACUGUAAACAGCAGCAACAGUAAGGAGGCAAUGAACGGUGAUGAGCUUAGCAACAGGAGCAAAGGUUUCGGUGUAAUCGAUGUCUUCACCCUGGGUAUAACCCUUGGCAACCAAGUGAGCUUUGUAUCUUUCAAUGGAACCGCCCGACUGGUAUUUAAUCUUAAAAAACCAUUUGCAGUCGAUCGGACAAUGACCUACAGGCAAUGAAGUGAAAGACCAGGUGUUGUUCUCCUCUAAAGCUGUGAUUUCAGAAUUCAUAGCUGCAACCCAUUGAGGGUGAUGAUGUGCCUCCUCAUAGGAGCUGGGUUCAACCAAUUGAGAAAUAUGAUUGAUAAAUGUACGAUGAGGUGCAGAGAAAUUAGAGUAAGACACAUACCGAGUGAUGGGGUAGACGUGACAGAGGAGGGAUUAGUAGGAGAGCAGAGUGGCAUGGUGGGUUUGGUAAUCUUUGAAGCGGGUAGGGAGUUUUGUGGGUCGGUUGGAUUGGCGAAUGGGCGGUGGAUUGAUGGCUAUGGAAGGGGUAGGGGAUGCGGAGGGAAGAUAUGGGAUGAUGGGUAAAUGAGGAGAAGAUAAGUCGGUGAUGGGUAUGGGUGGAGUAGAUGUGAUGGGAAGCAGGGGAGGAUGAGGGGGAAUGGAAGGGGAAUCAGGGAAGACUGGUUGGGGUGGUGUGAUUUGGUUAGGGAUGGGUGCAGGGAGAAGUAAUGGGUCGGGGGAAGAAUUGGGUAUUACAGUAGAGCCAUCUUGGGUUUCGGGUGGAGAUGUAGAGAAAGGGAAUGUGUGUUCAUGAAAAAUCACAUCGCGAGAGGAAAAAAAAUUUUGUGUGGUAAGGUCAUAAAGGCGGUAACCUUUUUGACCGAGGGGGUAACCAAAAAACACACAUCGGCGAGCCCGUGCAUCAAAUUUGUGCUUAGGAAGAAGAUUGGUGACAUAACACAGACAGCCGAAUACUCGUAAAAUAGAGUAAUCGAGAGAUCUAUGAUGUAAUAGCUCAAAUGGUGAUUUGUGUUUGAGUAAGGGUGUUGGGCGACGGUUUAUAAGAUAACAUGCAGUUUGUAAACUCUCCCCCCAAAAACGCAAGGGAAUGUUGGCUUGGAAACGUAGCGCUCGGCCAACAUUUAAGAGAUGACGAUGUUUUCUCUCGACAACACCAUUUUGUUGGGGUGUAUAUAGACAUGAGUGUUGAAAAUAAGUGCCUUUGUUUUGAAAGAAAGAUUUGAGAGACAUAAAUUCACUCCCAUUAUCGGCAUGCAAGGAUUUGAUAGGAAGGUUAAAUUGGGUUUGGACCCAAGGAAAAAAUGAUUGAAUUACCCCUUGUGUUUCUGAUUUAAAAUUUAGAAAAUGGAUCCAUGUAAAUCGGGUAAAAUCAUCUACAAUGGUUAAGAAAUAUCGGGCACCAGUAUGAGUACGUAUUUUGUGUGGUCCCCAAAUAUCACAAUGAAUUAAAUCAAAAGGUGCAGUGGACGCUUGUGAAGUAGAUGGAGAGAAAAAUAAACGAGUUUGUUUUGCUAACGGGCAAAUAUCACAAACAUGUUUUGGAUCACAGACAAUUUCUGAAAUUUUAUUUGAAAGUAAUUGAAGGGGCGUUGGAUGGGUGGCCCAAACGUUGGUGCCAAAGAUGGGAGGUGUGGUGGACAUGGUGAGCUAGAUGUGGAUUUUGGGUAGCUGUGAGGUAGUAGAGCCCAUUAAAUUGCUUGCCCAGGCCAAUCGUCCUCCUCGUGGUCACGUCCUGCACAAUACAAAAUUUAUCAAAGAAAAUCACAAUACACUGCAAUCCUCGUGUCAAUUUGCUCACAUAUAAUAAGUUCACAUUAAAUUGAGGGACGUGAAGAACUCCUUCAAGAGUUAUUGUUUCAGAUACUUUAACGGACCCAACGUUGUGAAUUUAUGCUUUUCCUCCAUUGGGUAACCCAAUAAAAUCAUGAGGAGCAUGUAACAUGUUAUGUGUAGGUGCAAAACAUGAAAUGUGAUCUGACGCUCCACUGUCCAUUAUCCAGUAUAUGUUUGAAUGUGGGUUAUGCUGUGAUAGAUUACAGGUAGGUGUAACAGUACCUGUUGCAUUUGCACGUGAAAAAUUACCGGAUUGGUUGUGCAAGAGGGCGAGCAAUUGAUUAUAUUCUUCGGUGGUGAAAGUUGGACUUUCAUUUGGCUUACUGUCAUGCACUAAGGUGGGAUCCCUGUCAACAGUGUAGGCAUUGGGUCUUUUAUUCCUUGGCUUGGCAUUCUUUCCAUGUAACUUAUGGCCCACAGGAAAACCAUUGAUAUAAUAACAAUUUUCCACCGUGGGUGUCUCCAUCACAGUAAGAACAAUUGAGUUGCUUCUUCAGAUAAGGAUCGUGCUUCCCUUCUCCAUUACCAGCACCAGGCAAUUUUGUUCUCAUUUGAUUCCUAGGUCUUGUCCCUCCCCUGAUGUAGCGACUGGUCUGCAUAGCAUGGGGUCUGAUCUGCCGAUUUGCCACAUCCAUUUAUCGCUCGUGUUGGAUGAUUAAUCCAUGAACACGCCGUGUCUGGGAUCGGUGACAUCAUGAGGAUUGACCCACUCACUGUUGAGUAAGCUUCAUUAAGACCCAUUAGAAAUUGCAUGACUCUCUCCUUUUCUUCUCUUGAGACUUGUGUUUUGGAACCCUCACAGGUGUAUAUGAUGGGUUCAUAGGAGGAAUCUAAUUCAUCCCAUAGAGCCUUGAGUUAGUAUAGUAUUCUAAAAUUGUGAGGUUACCUUGUCGAUGCUCAGCAAUUUCUUGGCGGAUUUGGAAAAUCUUGGAGUCAUUGCUUUGUGAGAAUCAAUCCUCGAGGUCAUUCCAUACCAUAGAGGCACUAGUGCAGUAAAGCACAUUGCUUGCAAUAUCAGGAUUUAGUUAUUGUAAAAUCUAUGACAGCAUCAUGUCGUUGCAUCUUUGCCAAACAACAAAUUUGGUAUCGAUGCUUGCUUGAGGUGUGAUGGUUCCGUCAAUAAACCCCAGUUUGUUUUUGGCACUCAAGGCAAUACGCAUUGAGCGGCUCCAUUGACCAUAAUUGUAUUCUUCAAAGGCUUGGAAACAAGAACAAGCCCUGGUGAACUAUGCAGGGUGAGUGAGUUUGAUGUGUUGUCCUCCAUGUUUAUUUGCUCUGAUACCAUGAAAGAAUUGUGAACUCUGUAGUGUAUUGUAUAUGUUAAGAAGGUUGUAAUACUUGUGAUUUAUACAAGUUGCAGAAUCUAUUCUAGGAAAGCAAAUAAUCUAUUCUAAGAAGGUCAAUCACAAUAAUUGUGAUUGCCUCAAUCUCAGCAAAUACAAUAGGAAAACAGUAAACAGAAUAGAAAGAAAUACAUAUUACAAUAGCUGUAUAAUAUCUUUCCUUUUAACAGUUAUUAUCUUCUAAAGUAACAAACUGCAACUGAUUACUUCAACUAACAUAUGAAUCAAGUUUAUAAUUCCAUCACAUGCUUAGUGCGUGUUUGGGCAUGUUUGUCAUUGCGUUUCAAAAGCAUUUUUGAAAAUGUUGCUGCUCAAUUUUGUUGCCUCAACCUGCAGUUCACUCUUCUCCUCUAAUGUCCCAGCUUACCAUGCUAACUGUAACACAGAUUUUUCUCUCUAUCAGAAGGAAUAACUAAACAAAGAAACACUAUAAUAAUUAGACGACACAAUUAUGUCAACUGCAAGAUUGAAAGAGAACUUGGCCAUCACACGUGCAUAGCAUGCCUCUGUGUUUAUUUUCAGGAAAAUAGAAAAUGUGUUGGCUGACCAAACCACCUUCAUACCCAUGUGCACGUUUGUGUCCCCAGAAAAAUCUAAACGAUGCAAGUUUUUAGGACUUCACAAUAAUUAUGGUUGACACAGCCCCUUAGAAAUUACAGUCACAAUCUAAUUGUAUCAAAGAUAAAAUAAAUGAUUGAACACUAAGAAAAUGGAUUACAAACAAGAGAAAAACUAAAGCAGAAUCAUGGAGAGAGAGGCUUUAUCCCAUAUUAAUUUCUUUUUCAAUUGGUGAAGAGAAUUUAUGAGAAUAAAAGAAUGCAAUAAGGAGAAUAAGAAAAUCUCCAUGAAAUUAAAAAAAAAAAAAAAAGAAAUCAACAGGUCAUACAUGCUUACAUGCUUGAAGAAGUUUAGCAUAAUGUUGCUAGAUAAUAUUUACUCCAAGAAAGCAUCUGAAGACCCCAACUGGAUAUCUACUAAUAUUGGCAUUCACCAUGAUAAACUCCUGUGAAUAGACAGUAAUAUCCGAUUAUUCUUGUUUAUUUUAUUCAAAUCCCAAUAGCUGAUGAAAAAUGAUCACUUUAAUGUUAAUAAUUACCCAGUUACUCAUGGCAUUUAUUUAUUAUACCAACAAAAUAUGCUAAGCCAACAAAACAAGCUGCAAAAGAGAUUUAAGGCCUUCAUACCUGAUAGCUAGUCCAACAACUUGAGUGAUCACCAUAUCAAUCAAAGUUGGUUGACUUUGUAAAUCAUAUGAUGAAUCUAGUUUAGAGAUUUAAGGCCUUCAUUUAUUCCAAACAUAAUGUCUUUUGAAAGAAGACAUCAACCAAACUGCAACACAAAAAUUUAAGACAAAUUUCAGGUAAAACAAAUGAAGGGUUGAUUAGCCACACAUGCUCUAAAGCCUAUUGCCACAGGCCUCUCUUCAUCCAGCUGCAAAGCAAGUUAUUUGCUCCUAUUUUAAAUAUUUCUAGUGAAUGUUAUUGAAGAAGAAUUCUUCAGCUUAAAAUCUUAUUAUUUAAGCAAUAAGCAUAGCCUAUGGUUUCUGCUCAGUUGGCAUUUUCGUUAAUUCUAAAACUACAAUCAUACGCUGAAGGUAGAUGAAUAUUAUGUAUGGACAGAAUAUAGUAAAACUCAGCAAACAUUUUUCUAUCUGAAGAAAAGACAGCAGGAAGGAGAAGUGCUUAUAGAUAAAAACCAGUUCGUAUACCUGUACAAUACUACAGGGAACCCAAAUUUCUUUAAAUGUAAAAAAAAAUCUGAGUCUUAAAAAAUCAUUUGAUAUUAUCAUUAAACCAAAAAAUAGUUAUUUUGAAAAAAUAUAUAUAUAAUGAUAAAGUUUCCUACUGUUUAUCUUAGACAACAUAAUGUUUAUAACUAGAAGCAUUGUUUCUUUUUAAAAAAAAAAAAAAAAACAUUUUAUGAUUGUUAAAGCAAGUUAACAAAAAAUAUCAAAAUAGUAUGUCCAUAUUUUGUAUGAUUGAAAGCUAAAAAAAUCAUAGAUAUAAUAAAAUCAUGUUCAAAAUCUAUUUAAACAUUCUAAUAAUAAACAACCGAUUUCAAUCAAAUUUUCAUAAACAAUUCAUUAUUAUUAUUUUCAUAUCAAAAACAUAAUAAUUGAAGAACAGUUAUUAAAAUUCAAAUAAAAAAAUAUUUAAAAAACUUGUCAUAACUGAAUAGUAAGUGAAUCCAGUAAAUGUUUUUUGGAAAGUCAAAAAAACCAGAGAGAAAAAAAGCCAGCAAAGAGCCUAGCCCGCGCGCACGUGGUAGGCGAGGCUCGUGCACCCGGCCCUGCUCUAUUUUUUUUAUCAAGGGGGCAGAUGAUUUAAAAAAAAAAAAAAGUUAGAAAGUAGAAGCACUCCCAACACUCAAACCCGCAACUUGUGCCCUCCCCACAAGCGCCUCAACUGAUUGAGCCAUGACACAAAAUUGUUAUUAAACAAGUAUUUCAUUGUUUAUAUAAUCAGUAAAGCACUACAAGAAUCAAUACAAGAAAGAAGAGAAAGAGAAAUGUGUGUGCAAUUAAAGAGAUAGGAUAGAAGAGGAAAAAUUUGAGAAAACGGGUACAAAUAAUUUGGAAGAGAGAGGCUGAGGGGAGAGUUAAACAAUUGGUGUAAUAGAAAAUGUUAGUGCUACAGAAAUUCAAGGAAAAAAGAACAUCAUAGUAUGUUCAUGUUUGUUUCUUCAACUAGCUGUCCAUCAGUUUCCAUCCGUUCAGUUAUGAUUUCCAUUGUUGCAGAACAAAUAAUUCUUUUAUCUCCGCUUUUUCUUUUCUGAAUGCUUAUCAUAGGCAUCCAAAAUCAGCUGUGUGUGGUCACUGCACACUACAUACUUGCAAGAAAUAGGAGGAGAAAACUAUUGGGUUUGAUAUCCUGUCCACUGUUGGAAGUUAUCAACAGGAAGUGCAGACACAAUCGAAGUACAGAAUUGAUGUGGGUUCUUGUUUCCUCGUGCAAGUUGUCUUAGAGAUUCAUAACUAUUUUGCAAGUUGUGCACCAUGAGUUAAAUUCUUCAGCUACAAAACAAUAUUGAAGGUCCUUUAAGGCAGAAAUAUAAUUCCUGCAGCAUACAUUACUCUGUAGAAGGACCAGUAGACAUUUUUUCACAAGCCAUUAUGAUGGAAACUGGAAAAAUAUAAAACUUCCAGGUAAUGUUUGGACGACAUAUCCCAUCCAUGCCUCAGGGCACUGAGGCCUCCAUCAUUUAAGCCCUGAUAAACCUAGGACAACCACUAGUUUGCAUGUUAAGCUAACCGAUGGUAUAGUCAAAAACAUAGAUGGUGACCCACAACAGCUCCUAUAUAUUGGUUUGUUACGUGGUAUGGAAAUAAAGAGUGCCCAGAGCUCAAUCAUAUAUCCAAUGAGCAUGGUGAAAGAGAUACAAUACAACCAGAACACAAACAAAAUGCAUCUCAUCAGCGAUAUGUGCUUAUUUCAACUAAUUCGGCUUCCUUGUUACCAAUACAUACCUUCUUUUCCAACACUGAGUACGUUAGCAAUUGCUUGGCAGGUGACCUUGUAGGAAUUUGGAAUAGCUAUGUGCUCAUGAUUUCCUAGCACUGGCAGGAUCAGCAGCCAAGCUGUGAAAACAAAAAAUCAUUAGCACUUGUAUGUAAAAGGCAAGCUCAAUGAAGGACGCUGUAAGUCUUUGUUCCAAGAGAACUCAUACAUGAUCUCUGGUGAAACACAUAGGCAAUAUAUCUAGUGAUCUCAUUAGCUUGUCCACCAUGGAGAAGCAGUUCCUUUGCACCUCUGUGAUUUCUUCUUUCAACCUUCCAGAUAACAUCAGGUCAAGGCUUAUUAUUUCAAAACUGCAAUUCAAGUGGAGCCCAUAAAAUUUUCCAGCUCCUUGGGGAACAUUUUGCUCAGCAUAAAUAUAGAAGCUGGAAUCUCUGCAUAAAACUAUACUUAAAUCAGAAGAUCUGAAAUUACAUCUUCCAUCUUAUAAAAUAAAAUACUGUUAACCAAUUGAAUCACAUAACAUACAGUGGGCCAAAUUGCCAACAAUCUUCGCCUCUAACACCAUGCAACUGUUUACUUCUUUAUCAAACAACUCGUUCCUCAUGAUUCAGGCAUAAGAACUUCAUUUACGUGUUGAUCAGCAAGAAAAGGCUCUAAAGAGCCCCAGGUUCUUCCAACUUUUAGUUUGACAUGCAAAGGAACUGAAAUGAAUGUUGUACAAUUAUGGUUAAUUACAUUAUCAAGAUGUCAAGAUUUUGUUGGGAAAAAAAAAGAGUAUUGAACACAUACCAAGAAGAGAAGCAGCAUCUUCCAUGCUCAUUUGUAACAGCAAUGCAGCUUCAUUGAUCAAGGAUGGAUCAACUUCCAGCACUAGCUCGUCAUGUACCUGAAUAGUAGUCACCAAGAUUCUUAUCAACUUUCUCCAAUGACACUGCAACUCAAAGUUCAGAUUUAAAUGGGAACCUUGCUGGAUUGACAGAUCAUAGACCAACAAAUGCACAGAUCAGAGUUCCAGUGUCCAAGCAAUUACUAUAUAUACUUCUCAAAGACAUUGGAAAUGAAGGAAUAUUUCAAAAAAAAAACUGAAGAAAUUGAAGCAGUUUUCCAAAGUAACCUGUAAUAGAAUUCGGCAUUGGCCCUUCAGCAUGUGAAACUUGUUUGCAUGUAAAGAGCUAGACUCUGGCCUAUCAACUCCAUCAACAAUCAGAGAGUGUAUAUUUAUCAUUGCAAUCUUGAUUAAGUCAGCAGCAGAUCCCUGUAAGAAGCAGCUAUCAGGACAAAACUAUUAUUAACCCAUGCUGUCCUAAUGUCUUUGACCAUCCCAAAAAUCACUAUACCUGACAGAUAGAAUUAACUGCUUGUCUCUGAGCUUUUGAUUUUUCUUCACUAUUUCCGAAUUUUAUUUUCGACAAGAACCGUUUUCUUCCCUUAAUGGUCUCCACAUAUCUGAAUUAACAGUAAAUAGAUACUUAUACUGAUAAUUAAAUCUUAAGGAACAAGAAAACUUGAAUGCCAUGCUUAAUCACAAGUAACUUUAAAUACAGAGCUACACGCCUCUUGAUUUAAAAAGGAUUGUCUUCGCAUGACAUCAAAUAGAAAAUACAAGAGACAACUUACUUUUGAUACCAGUGAUGAUAUGCAUUAGAAGAGCAUGUACAGCUAAACAUUUGCAAAUAAAAAAGAUGACAAUACAUGCAUCCAAAAAGACUUCAAAAUUAUGAUGAUAUGCAUUAGAAAAACAUAUACAGCAAAACAUUUACUUAUAAAAAAGAUGAAAUAUAUGCAUCCAAAAUGACUUCAAAAUUAUGCAAUACCUUUACCACUUGAACUAAAUGAAAAUAGAUUAAGAUGACAAUAGAACUAAAAUAAGUCAAGUGAAGACUCACUGCAAUAAGAUAACACCCUUACCCUUUUUCACGGCAAGAUGCAACUGCUUCAUGGAGCCAGGAAGCAACCCCAGGAAAAGAACUUUUGAAGCUUUUAAUUUUUUCUGCAGCUUCAUCUGAGCUACAAUCCAGUUGUUCAGCAAGAGUGUUAGCACCCAUUCCAUAAAGAAUUCCAUAAACCAUCCUUUUGGUCUGAUCUCGCUCAACUGAGCUGACAGAAGCUUCAGGCUUCCCAGUCCAUUGUGCGGCUAUUAGGUUGAAAACAUCGCCAUGUGGCUUGGUAAGGAGUUUAAUUAAUGCAGUGUCUUUAGAGAAAUGUGCCAUCAGUCGCAAUUCUAUCUGAGAAUAAUCUGCUGUUAACAGUAGCCAGUUAUCCUGCAAUAAGAAUUUGAGCUUUAGAUCCUUUGGGAAUAAGGAUUGAUGCAUAGAAAGCAUAAUCUACAGGCCCCACAGGACUUUUAUCAUUCUCCAGUUUGCAUUACCGAAAGCAAGGGGCUAAAUUAGCUCAAGGAUUUUUAAUACCCUAGACUGUUUUACUUUUCCAGGCUAUACUUUCAAGUUCUAAGAAGAUAUUUGAUAUAUACUGGAUAAUAACUACAAAUACAUAUAAAUUCAUUACGUGAGAAGCAUGAGACAAGGUUACAAGCUAAAUGACCAUAUUACCUGAGUAGGAACAAAGAAGUCACGGGCAUUUAUUUUAUAAUGCUCAGGUUCAGCAUCAUCCCCCUCUUUAUCUGAACUCAUUUCGAAAUCAACUGCGUGUUCAACGCACUGCAUAACUCAAAAGCAAGAAUGGUUACCAACACUAAAAUUAAAUUCAGAUUACUAAAAAAAAGAAAAGAAAAGAAUCACUGUAACAAAAGAAAGGGUGAAUAUAAAUAAUUAUAACCUGAAGAUUAGGUUCUUCGAUUGAAAGCCGACCAGUAGCUGUUGAUGUUUGGAGCCAAUGGCCAUGUAGUGUGUACUUCUGAGUCUCCAUAGAUAGCCUUGCCAGUGAACAGAUUGAUCCCAGUGUCGAGUUUAAAAGCUUUGCUAAUGUCCUGUGCUCUCUGAUGACUGGAACAAUAGGAUGCUCAUGCCUGAAAGGAAACAAAUCCUAUUAAUGUACUUCUUUUCACAAACAUAAUAAAUGCAGCGAGUAAGCCACCAUGAAUCAUCUAGAUACCCAGAGCAUGACAGGAUAAACUGCUUUGUUUGUAAUCAAAAUGUACAAGGGCCAGUACUCAAUAAACUGUAAAAGCCAGGUAAAUUUGAAAGCAAUGCCUUCAAUCAGGGAUGGUCAUUUCUGGUAAUUCAGGCUGGAUGAAGGGAAUUCAGGAAGUUAACUUGAACUACACGUUUGGGUUGGGUAAGUUUGGCAACAUAAAAUUGGUUUCGGUUGGUUAAUGAAAAAGAAAUUUGGGUCACAUUGACCCAAUUUUCUUUUUCAUUAACCAACCGAAACCAAUUUUAUGUUGCCAAACUUACCCAACCCAAACGUGUAGUUCAAGUUAACUGAGCCCAUUUUGAAUUUGUUGGGCCCUUUAUAAUAAAAAUAUUAUUUUAUUAGUUAAAAUAAUAUAACUUGAAAAGCAAGAGACAACAUGACAAGAACUUACAAGAACUUAUGUGAACUAAUUAUCUUUUAUUAAAUUGUCUAUUUCAUAAUAAUAUAUAUUAAUAUUGGUUUUACCAAUGUCAGAUAAACUGCUAUGUUUGUAAUCAAAAUCAUUCUAGGAAACAAAUACCCUUUAUUUACAAUCCAUUUGUGAAUUGAAAAAAAAAAACACCCUAAAUCGACAAAUAAAAAGUUAAGGUGAAAAUCUUUGUAAGAUGUAAAAAGGGUAAUGAACAAAGGGAUGAUUCUCAUCUCAACAACUUUUGUUAGAACAUAAGCAUAGAAGAAAAAUAACACAAAUUGCAAUUUAAACAAGAGAUAAAAAUGUUAUUUCCAUUGUAGGAUAUAGGAUAUACAGGCCUUGCAUCUUUGGAGGCCCAGAGUUAAGGAAUGAAAAAUUAUAUACGACAAAAUUAAAAAAGAAAAUAUAGUCCAGGUAACUUGGGUACCCAAACUUUCUCUUACUACAAAUUGCCUCAAAAAGAUUCAGGUUGUAACCUAAUCCAACUCUAAAACCAAUCUAAAGGAAUUAGUUAACCCAAAUUGAAUCAUGCAGUUCAGAUAAAUCCAGAUAACUCAGACCCAUAAAUCAAUUGAAACAUAUAUAUUGUCAAUGGGGUCUUCCAUCAUGCAAUUAAAACUUUCACAUUGAAAAACUAUAAGGUCAACAAUUAUAAUCCAUCCUAUUUAUUAAAUAUUCAGAUUUUAUCAGAGGCAUUACACCCAAAACAUUAAGAGUAAAGGUAGAAUUGGGCUGCUCUAAAUGACCACAAGAGCAAUUCUAUUACUCCAUUCAGGGCAUUGUACAGCUCAACAAAGACUUAAUCCAAAUUACUUUAUCUUGUAAGCAAAUAAGAAAAGAGUUGUGUACUUAUGACAAAAGCCAUAGCCAUGACAGUCUCCAGGAGCAAGAAUAACACUUGAUUAUCCACACAAAAAAAAAAAACACAGAUCUAUAUAGAUAACUUGGACAUUCAUUUUGCAUAUACAAAUAUUGCAAGAUGUGCUUAGCAUAUUUUUCACUUAAAGGCAUUGGUACUAAAAAGUAAGACCAUCUCAUACCUUAACAAAUCCAAACAAUGCUUGUCAGUGCUAGGAUGUUUUUUCCCCUUAUCGUGUCCUUCUGGAAUGGGAAGCUUCAAGUGUCUGUAUAGAAUAUUUGCAAUGUCUGCUGCUGUGUACAGUGAAAAUGUCAUGCCAGCCAGCUUAUAAGCCUUCUUCUCAAGAUACCUUAGCCUUUUCCCCAGCACAGUGCGUGCAUUUAGGCACCCCUCCAUGUCAACACCGAUCCCCCAAAGCUCCAUGUCAGCAAGAACAUUCACCUGAUACAAAUUUGCAAGCAAUAGAUUAGUAAUGUGAACAUCAAGUUACAGAGUGAAAUUACUGACGAUACUGGCUCAGUGAUUCCAAAACCAAAAAUAUCUCGCAUCACAUGACCAUUUGUGGAUGUGCAUGACCAGCCAUACGAGAGGCCAAGAUUCUAUGAAGAUACUAACACUAGAUGAUAGCAGCUUCCAAUUAAACAGUUUGAUAGCAACUUUUCUUCUACAAAACAAAUAAAGGAAUUUAAUAUAGAACAGAAUCUCUACCAAACGAUCAUGUGUUACCAUCCCAACAAUUUCCAUGAAAAUAAGUAAGGUGAAGCUCAAGAUAUUAAGCUCCAAUUUUAUUGAAAUAUCAUAUAAAAUUUUAAACUUUCAAUGCCUAGAAACAAAUUUACAUUUAAGGAAGUAUAGCUGAAAGCAACAGAAUAUUUACCAGCGGGAUUUCAAUGUUCUUGAGUGCUUCAAAGAGUCCCUCAGAAGUCAGUAACUUCCAAAGACCAGAGCAUAGGGCUCUUGUUUGCGCAACGCGGCGACAACAGCCAUUAUGAGCAACUCUUCGCAUCUGAUUCUUCCACCUGCCAUUCUGAUUAGCAGCUGCCACAGCCUCACUUGAUAACCUUUUCUUGACUUCCUGCAUCAUCAAUUCAUCAUCAUGACAAUCAGUGGAACAGGAAAGAAAAAAAUAAAAAAAAAGGUGCCUAUCAUGAAAAGGAAAGGAAACUUCCCCUUCCAAAGACAGACUGCACAAGCUAUUCUUCGGAUUCACAUUUUAAAUGCAGCUAGUUAAUAUUACCUUCUCCAAGUUCGGAUUGGAGCUUCUCUCCUCAUCAGGCCAAAGAAUCCAUGCCACAAUGCACAUGUCGAUUGCUUCUUUAAUGUUAAUAGGGGAUAAUGUAAAGUGCGAACCGCCUAUGAGUUCAGGACCAAAUAUUUUCCUUGGAAAACUCGGGCAGCCAAAUCUCUGAAUGGAAACUACAGCACCCUUGAGCACCUGAAGUUGAACUUUCAAAUUCCAAGUAAAUUUUAGGACACCUCUCUUUCCCAUUAUUUCUCCAAUCUUGUUCCAUCUCUUCCGAACUAUCUCCAACCAAUUCUCAGGUGGUUGAACAUUAUUUUUGUCACCAGAUUGACUGGGAGUUGAAUCAUUCCUUUGCUUAUGAGACCAAAGUAGGUCCUUAGGAAGAUUGAUGAAGUACACAGGAGAGUUUUCCCAGCAGAUGGCAAUACCAUGUAUUUCAAAUAGGCUGACAGAAUUUACUUCUGAUCGCUUGUUAUAAUGGAUAUCAAAAUAGAAUUCUUGGGUAGCAUCCCAGAGAUCCAAGAAAGAAUCAAAUCCACCAGAAAUAUUACUUGCAUUAGUAGGACCCUUCUUACAAGCACUGUCCUUUUUAUCACUACUUAAAUUCUCUCCACUACACUGCCCCUGAACUCUGGUAUCAGUGAUCCGGUCAUUGGUCCCAGUUCCAUCACCGCUAUGUCCAAAUUGUACAGAGAGGAUUGUUUCUGCACUAUUCUUAUUAUCACCAGUAGUACAAAGCUCAGUGCCAAGAUUUGAAGAUUUCUUAGCUGGUACUGUAGAAUUUUCAGCACCAAUAUAGCACUGAACGGGACCAUUUGAGUUUCCUUCUGCAGCAACUACCAAUCCAACACUGACUGGUUUCAUUAGUUUGUCUUCUCCGGUUCCCAUUGUAACUUUACCAGAAUUCUUGCUACCUUCUAUGAACAGCAUAGAUGAAGCAUGAUCUCUUUUAUCCACAUGCAAAAUGAUAUUAGAUUUAUCUCCAAACAAGGUACCUGCAUUUCCUUGCUCAACAAGAUUUUCGGGAGCAUUGGAUAACAAAGGCGGAGAAAACUGUGGAACAUUGAAUCCAAGUGAUUUGAAAGCUUCAAAAGCAAUAACCCUUGCCUCUUCUGCUUUGUCAAGUACAAUUUUACGUGCACCAUUCUUGAUUUUCUUCGCAAUUCCCAAUUGCACGCGUCUUUGUGCUGAACCUUCUGCAUCAAUUUUCUCAACUUGUGUGAAUCAUAAUAAAUCCAAAUAUUUAAUACAUGCAUCUAUAAAUGCAUGCUACACAACAGAGAGAACAAGGGUACACAAAGUCUCUAUUAGAAGGCAUGUAGUAGGAACAUCAUUGCAAAUAUUAGAAAAGUUCCAUUACAAGUAUGAUACUAAAUAUGAGAUACUUAGAUUUAGAUCAGAUAUCCAUAGAUGCAUGUUUAGAAAACAGAAAUAACAACCAAGAAUGAAACCUCACCCCAAAAUUUUACACACUAAAACCUAAAAAAGAACUAUAUGCCCUAUGAUCCUAACCUGCAAACCUAUACUGAAUAUACAACCCUAAACUCUUCGGCACAUUUUCCCUAAGACCCCCAAAACCAAACCUGGCAUUAAUGAGAACAAACUCAGUUAGAAACCCUUAUAGCUGUAACUCAAUUACAUCUAAGUGUUAAAUCCUGAAAAUCUCAACCUCAAUGAUAAACAUGAAACCUAAAUCCAUAUACCAAUACCUAAAUUGCUGAGCACAAAAGGAAAAAAUAAAGGAUCACAAAGAAUACGACAGGACAAAACUAAAAUAUAGGCAUGUGCAUCUACACACACAACUUCAAUGCGAAAUAUAACUAUUAUAUUUGAAUGUAAAUAGAUCUUUACACACAGAUACAAUGUGCAGGUGCACAUGUAGUCUUGCAGACAGAGUGCAUGUUUGGGCGUGCCACAAAAUCCAAACCAAGAAUUUGUUUCUCAUACACCACAAGAAAGACUCGUUUUCCUAUCUAAGAAACUCAUCCAUUACAAAUUGCCAAACCUAAAGCAUGCAACAACAUUCUAGAAUCUGUUGCCACUUGGCAUGAUGUUCAUAUAUCUGUGAUUUCUUUCUUCCAAAAUAUAAAAGGUACAAACCUCUCAAAGUGGGGAAAGAAUUCUGUGAUAAAUAAAUUCCAUAAGAAUCACAAAAUAAUCUCCCAUAAAAGAAGAAAUCGCAUGUAAGUUACACCAAGGAAAGUCUUCAGUUAGGACAUUUUAGCUAGAAUAAAGAUAGCAUGCAUUUUCUACACAAAAUCAUCAUAUAAGAGGUCAUGUGCUGAAAACUCUAUCAAGUUCACCUUGUGCAGACCAUGAUGAAGAUUCAAAAAGUGCUUUGCCUAUUUCAGGAAUAGAUGCUUCAGCAAUAGCUUGAGGAGUACGCAACCCUGCUUUAUAGAGUGCCCUUGCUCGAGAACCCUACAAAUGAAGCAGUGAAAAUAAUGGCCAUCUCUGAAUCAUUAACUAGAAACUUUGAAGCAUCAACAGGAUGACAAAUAACUAUUACAACUAUGUGUUAGCAAUCUUGCAGAAAAAAAUAGAAGCAAUUGAUUACCUUAACAUAUGGAAUAUUAGUGAGCUCCACAAUCUCUGCUCUCACUCCAAAUGAAACACGAUUUUGGAACUUCGCAACCAGACCUUCAAGAUCAUGCCAUCCAAGUCUUUCACAAAACACAGAAACCAUAGAUGCAAAUCUUCCAGCAUUCUCUUGUAAGGAUUGGACCAUGCCUCUAGCAACUUUAAAAGCUUCACACACCUCAGGUACAGGUGCUUCCUUUAUGCCAGAAUUUAAACAGCAUUUAUUCAGCAAAGCAAUGAACUAAAAAAUAAAUAUAAAAAUCAGCAUUUAUUAGCAAGCAGAAGCAAACACAACCCAUGAUAAACAAAUAUUAGGUAUCAUAUCCAGGUAACCAUGUGAAUAAAUAAGCAGAAUACUUGAUAAAUAUACUUUUUCUGGAUAAAGAAACAACCAAGAAUCUAUAUUCAUAGUAUAUGCAAUUUACACAUGGUAUUAUAUGCCAACGCGCACGAAAUAAACACAAAAAAUAGAUGUACUCAAAAGGAUGUGAAUCGCACAAGAAAAUAUUUGGUUCCCUGAGUCAAUAUUAUUGAUCAGAUAGGAGGAAAAAUGAAAAGGGAUGAAACACCUGCACAAGUCUUGACAAGAUGAGAGCAACAAAAAAUCUUUUGCACACCCUACGUGUCUGAUCAUCUGAAAUGGCACUUUUGUUUGUAACCCCAGAUUGGUUUUCAUACUUGCUGGCAUGCAAGGCUUUUGUAUUAUCUAUUGAUCUGUUCAAGCUGCGCAUAGGUGCUCCAUGUGCCAUCCGCAUCAAAAAUGGCUCUGAAACUCCAACUCGAUUUCCAACAGACUUCAUUCCAUGAAAUUGGAAAAGAAAAGGGUAAGAUAUUUAAAGCAUUAUUGAAAAUCCAGAGAAAAGAUCAAUCAAAUGUGAAACAAUAACUCAAAGAUUGGGAAAAAAAAUGAGCAGAGGAAAAACAUCACCUCUAUUUCUACUGUUUAGUAAUUUAAUCAUGCAUAAUAGUACCAAUAUCUGUUAGUUUACCUGAACUAAUUACAUGAAGAAAUUAUGUUGGUUCAAUUCUACUGCUUUUUUCUUUCCUAUCACUCUUUGAAUUUUAAUGAACUUGGUGCUCUGAUCAUAUGUUCUGUGCUAAGUGGCAUCUACAUAGAGAGGUCAAAAGAUUUGAACUCUAUGUGGCUUUAAUAUCACCAAGCAGGUUACAUCUGAAAAGACCAUUGGCCAGGAUUAAAGAAUGCUAUUCAGGAAUCACAUGUCACACACCAAACAUAUAGAUUCAACAUACAGAAAUCCAUCUCUCACAAAAAUUGGAAAGCGGCCACAAGGUAUCAGUUGUCUCCAACUUGCAACGAAAAGAAUGCCUAAUAUCAACUGACACAAGGUGAUCAAAACCAACAACAUUACCUGAUCAAGGAUAGACAAUUCCAUAAACCUUUCAUAAUACAAUUCCCAGUUCGGCUCAACAUCAACAUUGAUUGGUGUGACUAAGAACACUAAAUGCAAAUCGGACGCAAGCACAAAUCCUUCUCGUGCUCUGGAAAGAUCAUCUAGCACAAUCUAGGAAACCAGACAAAAAACCACAAUAAAUGAAAGCACAGGCGCGUGUCAAAUAGUUAGCUACAGCAAUUAAGAGAGAAAAAAUUGAAAAGCAAGCAAACUCACUAAGAGAAUGCUUAGGAAAACAUGUUAAACAAAAGGGAUGCAACCAACAGAACAUUGGUCUGGAAAUGGAGCGAAAAAUGCAGAAAAAAUAAGGCUACAGAUCUUUACAAGUGAUUCUUCUGGACAAAGAGAACUGCCAAAAGCUGCACGUCCAAGAGGUGUUGUGCCAUAUAGCUUAGUAUCUUCAUUCCAUUCAAGAAAUUUUCUGUGGCACAACCAUCUAAGUGAAUCCUGUGCUGAUUUCACAACAUCCCUGAACGGUUUUGUAGAAUUGAGAAGAGUACAUCUAACAUAACGAUGAAUAUCAUUAGCAGUUUGAACAAUCCCACCAGCCACAACUUCUAAAAUUGCAUGUGUCAUUCCAUUUUUAUCUUCAGAUAGACACGACUGCAAUGGUGGACAGCUUUCAUUAAGAAGUCCCAUAAUUCUUUUUAACUCUUCUGGUUUGCAAAUCAGUACCUGAUCAGGUAAAGCUAUACGACUGUUAAAUGGAAAAGGAUAAUUGCAUUCAAAAUAAAUCUAUGCCCUCUUCAGCAAAAUUAAAGGUAAGGAGACAAAACACGGAUUAUUCAAAUACUACUAGCAAGUUCCUAGGGAUAAGCUUACACUUUCCCCUUUAGUAUCUAUUCCAGUUCGACCAGCUCGACCAGCCAUCUGUUUGUACCUUGUCCCGUCAAUGAAAUCACGACCAAUUCUGGGUUGUCGAAAAAUGACCCUCCUAGCAGGCAGGUUAACCCCGGCAGCUAAGGUAGAUGUAGCAGUUAAGAUGCGCAAAAGACCUUUACGAUAGCAGGUCUCAAUAAUUUCUCUUUCCUCUACCUGUAAGAAAGAGAACAUUAUAAUCCUUUGAUGACACAUCUAAUAGAAAGGAAGUAUAUACUUAAAAACAACAACCAAGCCUCAAACUACUUGGGGUUGGCUGUAUAGAUCCUUUUGCACCAUUCCACACAAUUAAGUGUAUAAUUUUUUAAAAAAAAAGUACAUGAAUGAAUAUAUACAACACACAUUAUCCACCAAAUAAACCACAUCAUGAAAAAUAGAUAAUAAAAGUUGCAAGAAAUUAGAUUACCAGAACAUAAAUAAAAAAAGAGAGCCAGGAAAUCAUACCGUCAAGCCAGCAUGAUGAUAGGCAACCCCAGAAGGUAGAGUUUCUUCCAACGUUGAAUCCAAUCCUGCGGGACAUCUUCGCAGUGCAUCAAUGGCCGAAGUAAUAUCACCAAACUCGCUCUCAUUCUGAAUGUUAAUAGAAAACUUCUUCACAAAUUUUGAAACAUGCCUCGCAGUUGAUUCACAUCCUUUUCGACUAGAGCAGAAUAUUAACACUGAAUGUCCAUCUUGAACAACCUGAAAUACAUAACAGCCAUCCAAAAUUAUUCAGCUUUCUAAUAAUUAGAUACAGCUUGAUUCACAUUAGAAAAAGAAGGGUCCCUGCCUCAUUGCAUAGUUCCACAAUAUGAUCUGGAUCUUUACCACCCAGGUCAGCUGCUCUUGAAAGUGUUCUAACAAUAUCCAUUUUCUUGUCAUAAAUUGUGUUGCCAACUUUAAUGUAUUCUUCUAGUGGAACCGGUCGGAAAUUUGUCUGGUAUAGUGCGGCCUGCACAAAAGAUUGGUUGCAAAAACAAUUUGAUGAAACUAUCAAAUGCACAAUAAUAUUGAGAAAAACAUAUAAUACAGUCAGAGUGGCAGAGAAACAAGUUCUUGAAAAGGUAAGAGCAAACAAACAUCCUGUACAGUAUAGAAGUACAAUUAAAAGUUGUUGUACCUAGAUUAAUCUGGUCCUAUAUGUUUAUUAAAAGACUCUCACCUAUGGCUGACCAGUAAGUUGAAGAAACAAAAAUUAAAAAAACCUUAGUCGGACAAUCUUUUGUAAACCCACUUACUUGAAGCCAGUCAGCAACUGCUGCCACAUUGGGCAUGGUAGCACUCAUCCCAACAAUUUGCAGACCAUGAGCAGCAUCACCCUUACUGCUUGUACCUGAGCUUUCUCCGCUGCUGGAUUCUGUAUUGCCUUCACCAGCAGCAUAACGAAGCUUUGUCAGCAGAAGUUCCAAAAGGUAACCCCUGCUCUGAUCACCAACCUGUCCACGAAAAAAAAAAAAAAAAGACCACAAUACUUAAAUUAUACAGAUAAAUAAACCUAAUGAAUAAUUUAUGAAAGCUGUAUGAGUCAUACUUAAUCACAUGUCUAAGUAAAGGGAAAUCAUAGAAAACAUCCAGUUUAAGUUUUUCUCUACAUAAAUUUUUCUUCCUAUAUUGUUGAUCAAAUGUCAUUUCACUAGAAAGGAAAAAAAACAUCCAUAUCUAGAGAUUAUUGAAUGAACAAAAAUGCUUGUACCUGAAACAUACAAAGUUUUAGAGGAAGAUUUUGAACAGUGAUUAGGCUCCUCUAUGGGUGACAGGAUUUUUUCACAUUGCACACUCCCAUUAAAGCACCUCUUUACGCUCACAAGUGCCAGUGAAGAUUGAGGAAGAGGGAGGUACAGAGUUGUUAAGAGAGAAUGAAAAGAAGGGUCUGGAGGGUGAAACUUAAAGAGCAUAUUUGUAAUUUUACUCCAUAUUAAUGAAACUUCAAAAUGCCAUCAGCUAAGGACGCAAAGUGUUACCUCAUGCAUCAUGGGGGUUGUUUCGAUGUUCUCACUUAAAUAACAAACAGCCAUAUAGAUAUAUACAAGAAGAGAUAUGGUUUACAAUCAUGGGAACCUAUGAUUCGAAUUACCAUGUGUAGUUCAUCUAUCACCAUGAUUCCAACUUCUGAUAGACGACCCUCUUCCAGUAAUCUGUUUAUUAGGGAGUUUGCUUUCUCUAUUGUGCAGACAGCUACGGAAGUAUCUUUAGGAAGUGUUCCUCCACCCUGGUUGCCAUAAUAACUCCGGACAUGCAUACCAAGAGGUUCCAGAAGGCCCUCCAGAUGUUCUGCCUGGGAAAAUUAAGACACGGAUAAAAUAUACAUGGUAUACAGUAUAUCACAAACAGGUCAUGCACUAAGAAAAGAGUAAGAACAUUUCGUAAUUCCAGGACAAAAUUAUCAAGAGACCUUUUCUGCACAAAUUGAUACAUAGGGAAGUACAAGAAGCGCGAUCUUUCCAGUUGAUAUAACCCGCCGCAACAUCAAAAUUUCCGCAACAAAACUUUUACCAGCACUGUGGCAGGGAAACAUGUUUAAGGAAUGAAUACCGCAUCAUAAGACACAACCAAAACGGGAAAGGAGAAGGAAAACAUUGAUUAGAAUUUGUUCUCCUUCUAAACAACAAGGUUGCUGGCACAAAAUAGAAAUAAGUGAUAGAAAAUGUAUAAAUCUGUUACAGAAUAUAAUCUGAAAUCAAAUUAACAAAAAGUACCUUGUAGACGCGCAAUAUACAAGAUUUCGUCUCUGCAAAACACCAUCCACCUGAAGGCAAUCAACCUGGAAAACAGAACAGCCGAAUACAUCAGAGUCAGACAGACAUAUUGAAAUAUAUGAGCACCAACACAGAAAUCUCAAUAAAUAAAUAAAUACAAAAAGAGUUCUGCAACCCCACUGGAAGCAUAAUUGUGCUUGAACACUGGAGAAAAAUAUUCUAUAGAUGACCUCUGGCAAAUCAAAAGCCAAAAUUGAGAAAUUGUAUAUGAGAGUUUGAACAGUUCAUAUGUACACGCCCUGUGCAGAAAAGCAUUAAAACAAAAGGAAAAGAAAAGGGUAUAUAAUGAAGCCCAAACAACAUAUAGAUAAGAUUAGAAAAAUAAUAUGGAGAGAAUACAAACGGAAAGCACAACACUUGAAAAUCAAAAGUAAAUCAAGUUUUACACCAAGUUAUGCAAUAAAACCAAAACAAAAAGGAUUGGCAACAAGUAGAUAGGUUGGAACUCAGAUGAGCAAUCUUGAAAUAAAAUAAAUGUGCACUGGAAAAGGGAUUACAAAACAUGCUUUAAUACUCCAAAGCUAAGAAAGGUUUUUUUCUAUGAGAUAAAGACUGCAAGAAAGCAAUAUAAAGAUUCAGAGGGUAAAUUUGAACCUCGAUUAAAGAUGCUCCUCUUCACUCUUUGAGUAACAAAAAUAAUACAGGAAUGGCACUACUGCCUGAUAUAACAAAAAAAACACCCCAAACUUUGGCUCUAAUGAUCCAUCUCUGUCCAGGUUAAAAUUGGACUACAUAUCCGAACAUCAAGUUGGUAAGGAUGGAGUGUGACAAGCCAUUGAAUUAAACCAAUGAAGUAGCCGGUUACUUAUCUGAGUUUUACUAAAUGUGAUUGAGUCCAAUACAAACAAAUUCCACAAGAAAUACACUAGUGGCAACCCAAAACUACCCUAAACAUUUGUACAAGUUACACCAGUCUGUGGAAGUCUUCUUAUUUCAUGAUGGUGAAAACCAACCUCAUAAGAAUUAUAUCUGGGGCCAUUACAAGUGGACCCUAGUCUACAUCUGUGUCCCAAAAAUGAAAGAGAUAGGAGAGUCUCUCCAUAGUGGACCCAAACACCCAAAACUGUAACAUGAGGUGGGUAACUUAUGUACAGCAGGAGAGAUAACAAAAUAAACCUUGUCAUUUCCAUCCUGAUCACUUAGCAGGAAUAUAAAGGCAACCUCAAGUAUUGUGAUUCAAAAGUUUGAAGAUACCUGCCAAGGAUACAGUUUUGAAAUUCCUUUCCUCUUAUAUAUGCUGCAUACUUCUAGAGGAAGCCAGUUGCUAAGAUCUAACCGGUCCUUGAGCGGCCCAAAACUUGAAGGAGUUCCAGCUUCAACACACUCAUUAUUAUCAAUUACAUUCCUGGUGUCUUUAACUGGCAAAUGAUAUAUAAUGCUAUCGGCAUCUUGAUUUGGCAAAUCCACUUUCUUUGUGGUCUCUGUAUCCACAGUUGUUUUCUCCUCUUCUUUAUGCAUCUCUUCUCUUGGCUCAUCUUUGAGAUGAUAUGUUACAAUAUUCGCAUUUUGAAGCUUUUGAGAUUAAUAGAACCGUGCUCAGAUUUUUCACUGCUUCUGUCCACAUUUGAAUCAUCUUUAGCACAGGGUGGGGUGCUAACUUCCAAGUUCCUGUCCUCAAAUAGUGAGUCAAGUUGUUUGACAGGCAGUGGAGAUACUUUUUCCAUAUGCUUCCUUAUAAACUCCAAUGAACAACCUCUGCUGCCGGCUUCGUUUAACAAUUCCCGUGAUAGGUUGCCAGACUUCCCAUUAAUGAUAUUUCCAACUGCCUGGACAAAAGGAUUGUCAGCUUCAGAAAAUAAACUAUCAGCAACUUGAAUUGCUUCAUUCCAAAAUGCAUCUCCUGGUGAAAAGAUAGAGCUUCCACGUGUAGAUUUGGGACCAUCACUACCGCGUCCUCUACAAAUUGAUGAUCCUGGUGUACAGCAUUCAGCCAUAUUUACCGUUGAGUUAGCCAUUUUGUUGCAUUUUCUCAAGCUUGUUUGAAGCUGAACAGGAUCGUUACCAACAGCUACCUGCCAUGAAAGUGCAGGAGUAGGAGGAAAAGAAUGGUCAUAAACCAGAGACCUCACAUAUAACAGUGAUAAGACUGUUUCAUAAUACACCAAUUUUACCUCUCCAAAAGAAUUGAAAACAGAUGCUCCAUUUUUAACAACAAAAGCAGAUUGCUUGUCUUCUGGCUUCUUCUCGAUUGGACAAGGGGUUUCAACUUCAGAAUUUAACUGAUUGGACAUGCAUAACCUCUUUUUGGAUGUUUUAUAAUCAACAUCCACUAGCAAUGGACCACCAUUUCGCUUAUGGUCAUUCAACUUUGUCUUUGAAGGUGAAGUUGCAGUUGAUUGAAGUUCACUGCAAUAAAAUGAUUAGCAAUGACAUUUGCAUAGUGAAAACAGACACAAACACACUACAUAACAUAAUUUCAAUGGACAUACAGAAGUUUAAACUACAUUACCCACAAUACAGAGACAAAAAAUCAGUAGCAAACUGUUUUAGUUCCGAAUUCUCCACCCCAUUCCCCACAUCCAAGCAACCCUUCACAACCCUUUCAACCGCAAUAUUCCCCACAUUUCCUGCAUUGGACGAACCUUGAGACAUUUCCUUCUGAACCACUUUGCCGCCUUCACAACUUCCCACGCACAAUCGACCAGACACAAGAGAUUCCUCCUCUUCUUCAUUUGAAACUUCAUCAAUCUCCAAUGUCAAGCUUCUUUUAACCAAGAAACCACCCCCACGGUUAUCAUCCUUCGAGUUCACCAAGUAAUUAUCCAAAGUUCCUUUGGCACUGGGGGACCCUUCAACUACUUUGCUUCUUGCAUCUUUUUCGAUCCUUCCCGACUUCAAAUUCGGCGACGAAGAUUUCCUCUUCCUCGACGCAAAAAACUGUAAAUUAAAUCACAGACACAAGCAAAGCACGUGUUGGAAUAAUUAAAUCCGCACUAAAAUAUAGUAAAUUAGUUCAAAUCUUCUAUGAUCUGAAUUCAAAUUUGACUAAUUUCGAACAAGCACAGUUUUCAAAAGUCAGAUUCAGAUUUUCUUUAUCUUUGAAGAAAGAUCGAUUUUUUUACCGUUGGGAAGUUUCUAGGGUUUAGGGGGCCCACCUGAUCGAUGCGAGUCCGAGGAGAAUCAGACGCCAUGGGAGAAGGAGAUGGGAGAUUUCGACGGUGAUCUGCAAAACCCUGGGAUUUUAUUCACGCGGUGGUGUUUUCUUGGAAGGGAGCUACUACGACGUCGUGAAAGAUUUGAAACUUCAAACUGGUGAGGGCAAGAGCGCCAAGUACUCGCUGGAUCCGAGCACUGUGGGUCUUUAUUCACGUGGGCUCCGUCUAGACUCUACAGGGCGAGAGUGGCAUGGUAGUAAAUUAUGGGAAACUUGAUGGGAGGUGGCUCCUAGCGUCAUUUGAUUUUAUUAAAUUUUGGGCAUAUUUGAUAUUUCAGCGUGUCUAUGCUUUUUAAAAGAUUUGAAGAAAAAAAAAGUAUAUUUUAAAUUGGUUCUUUUAUGUUUAAAUUAUUAUAUUAUAAUGAUAUAUCAAAAAUAAAUUUCAAAAAUAAUAUUAUUUUAAUAUAUUUUUAAAUAAAAAAUAUAUUAAAAAACAAUCAUCACUACUACAACAAUAAACACUACUUAUAUCUCUAUAAAUCUAUACUCAUUUUCUGGUACGGGGUAUUUAUGAAUUUUAUUAGAAUAAAGCUAAGCCUUGUUAAGUUCAAGCAAAUGAAGGUCUCGUUUAUUUGGUAGAAAUUAUUUUUUAAAAACCACUUUACAAACUUUCAUAUUUUUAUUUGUCAUUAGAAAAAUUGGUCAAUAAAAAAUAUUUUUCAGUCAAAAAAAUUAAUUUUUUUUCUAGAAAAGUGUUUUUCUUUUUUUUUGGGAGGAACAUACUUUCUAAAAAUUAUAAAAUUUUUAAAAAUAUCAUAUUAUUUGUUGAUUAUAACAAAAUAUCAUUAGAAAAAUUGUUGAUUAUUAACUUUGGUUCUCAUUUUUAUUAUUGUUAUUUAUUUUUCUCUUAUUAUUUUUUUAAUUAAAAAUUUUUAUCUAUCAAAUUUGGUCCUCAUUCUUUUAAUUUUUACUUAUUUUAUUUGAAAUAAUUUAUAAAAUUAUUAUUAUUAUUAUUUUAAUUUCAUCAUCUUUUAAUUUAUUUUUUAUCUGUUGGAUUUAAUCUCCAUUAUUUUGAUUGUUAUUUAUUUUAUUUGAGGUAAUUUAUGAAAUUAGAUUUUUUUUCAAUUUCAUUCACAUUCAACUGUUUUUAAUUUGUAAGAUUUGUUCCUCUUUGUUUUAAUAAAUUUAAAAUAUAUAUAUUAAUAAGUUAUUUUCCAGCUUAUUUUUCAUAGCAUAACCAAACACUAAAAACAAUAUUGGUAAUUACAAGUAUUUAGAUCUUUUUAUAAUAUCUAGUAGUCAUUAUUAAAUUGAUUAAAGAUAAAUAAAUAUUUUUAUAUUUUAAAUACACGGUAAAAUAACCAAAAUAUCAUUGGAAGUAUAAAUAAAUAAAUUAACAUCAAAGGGCAAUUUUGUAUUUUCAUAAUGAUUUUUUUGUUGUUACCUAUUAAGUAGAGGGACAAUUUAGUAUGUGUAUAUAUUUAUAUAUAUGACCAAAAUGUCCUUAAAAGCAAAAAAAAUUAAAAGUAGUAGUAUGGAGAGCUUUUUUUUGUUAUUGUCAAAUUAGUUUAAAGGCAAUUUAAUAAUUAACCAAAUAUAUAUAAAAAAAAAAAGUUGGGACACGUGUGGUACACUCUCCAAUGUGUGGGAGGAGUCAACGCCCUUUCAAGAAGCAUGUAUGGCGCCUCUCGACAUCAAAAAAAUAUCCUUCCAUUGUGUCAAUGAAAGCGUCAGCACAUCAUUUUCGUGGUGGUGUAGUGCAUGUUGACGAUGGUGGUUAGGUUUGUCGCCAGUGGGCCUUUCUUUUCUUUUCUUUUCAUUCUUCACUCUAAAAAUUACAACUUGCCCCUCUUUGUUAUUGAUAUUUGAACUUCUAUCCUUUUUUUUCUAAUUUUUGCCUUGGCUUAUUUGAAGAAGUAUUAUUUAUUUUUAAUUUCAUCACUCAAUCUUGAUUUUCUAUAAAUUAUUUUUUCCAAUUUGAUCCUCAUUCUUUUGAUUAGUUUUUUGGUCUUUUUUUUAAUUGAUUUUUCUUUCAACUUCACCUUUUAAUCAUAAAUAUGUUGUUAUUUUAUAUUUCAAUUUUAAUAUUUAUUCUUUUAAUUUUUAUUUUUGUUUUGGAUCAUUUUGUGUAAUUGAUAUUCUUAUUCCAUCCAAGUUAAGCCUUCAACAUUUAAUUGGUAGGGAAUUGGACUUCGUGGUUUUUACAAAUAUGGUGUUUUUAGUCCCAUAGGCCACGAGUUUGAAAACUUAACGCGAGUGGACAUUAUUUUUUAUUUUUAGUUUUUUAACUUAAUUUCUUUUUAGUUUUGUUAUUUUUUAUGAUUUUUUUUCUACUAAGUUAUCUCGGUCUCAUGACCUAGGCUGCAAGUUUGGCGGGUUAAUCUAGGUUGGCUUACCUCUUAUUCCCGACAAAGCUAUAAGUUUAUCAUGUUAAUUCGAAUGUGUCGCAAGGUGCAUGUGCCGACACGACGUCGUCUGGUGAUGGCGGGGGCUCUUAUGGUGCCUCAUGUGUGAGGUGUUGUAUCUUGGGAAGGGUUUUUGGAUUUAAUCAUAAAAUUAUGAUUAAUGUUUAGGAGUCGCCACUUAAUAUUAUGGUCACUAGGAACUUAUGGUGUGCGAGAGUUUGGGUAAGGGACUGGUUGUGUAAGGAGAACACGCAUCACCCUAAGUGCACUCUACCUAAGGUAAGCUAUAUUGUUGUUUGAUUGUUUUUUUCUAAGUCAGGUUUUUAUUUGUUGGUAUUUUCUAAGGUUCAUGUUGCGAUGUCGCGGUCGCACAAAUUAAUUACCCUAGCUUCAAACACAACACACAAGAUAGUAUAGAGCAAGCAAGGGGGUCGAUCCCACGAGGAAGAUUUAGUUCAGAUUUUUUAUGCUAUACGUUAUGCAAUUUGGGGGGGUUGGAUGUUAUAUAGGCUAAAGAAAAAUAAAACAGAAAACUAUCAAACAAAAUUUAAUAAAAUCAGAAAAUUAUCAAGAGAACAAACCUUGGUCGCAAUCACACAUCCACCUAUAGAAAUCAGAACCGAUCCUUGAAACGAAAUUCCAGUUUAUAUUCUGAAUUUUUAUCUUUUCUUAACGUUGGUUAAUUAACGGAUCCGCCGUAUAACUAACCCUAACCAACAAAUAAUCACAGUGUCCGCACUAAUGAUUUAAUCCAAUGGCAGCCUUAAGAUCUAGAUAAAUUCAUUAAUCUUAACAACUAAGUUGUCUGCUUAUAUUGCUUUGAUCGAAUGUUCUCCCUAAGAUUAAUAACAUAGAUCCGCUACAAUUAUUAAACUCAGUUGCUUCACAAGUUCAUAUACCACAACUCCGGUUUUGAUAUCAAACUUAGCAAUAAAUUGUCUACAAUAAUAACUUAGAGUCCGCUCUAGCAAUUAAAAUAAACAAUCAUAGGAAAAAUAAGCAUAGGAGAACAAACAUAUUCAUCAUAUAAACUGAAAAGAAAAGGUAAAAUAGAUCUCACAGUUCUUGAAAUCCGAAGGUUUCCGUGUCCUUGCAACCAAGAAAAUGAGUUUAGCCUUGCAUGUUUGUUGAACAACUAAUCAAAAAGAUGGAAGAAUGCAUGAUUUAGGGUUUCUUAGAGUAGGGGGGCGUUUUUCUCCUCUUGGGUGGCUGCCCCCCUUCUCUUCUCUCAUUCUUUUUAUAUGCUAGGAAACCCUAAUCUCUAUUUUACAAAAUAGUCCUCCCUUAAGUAGACAAUUUACAUUUAAGUAGUUCAAUAACUAUUUUCCUAAAAAAGGAGAAAUAGCUUUGCAUGAAAUCUUCAAGCUUUGACUUAGAGGAGCUACAUUGCUGAAAUAAAAACUUGGAUGUCGGUUUAGAUGCUUCGAAACGUAAUCUGGACUCGUUUCUUCACGAAACUUGUUUUUUGGCAGAAUUCAGUUGUCAUCUUUGAAAAAUCAUAUCUCCCUCAUAUGACAUCGGUUUUGGCUGAAAUUUGGAGCGUUUAUAGACCUUUGAGUCAGGAAUCCAAAAUAAUUGAGUUUGCAUCAAUUGGACUUUUGUAGCUCUAGAUAUUCAAGUCGGAAUGACCGAAGGUCAGCAUUGGCAGAUUGCGAGAUUUGACUUUGAAAGCUGCGAUUUCCAUGCUCUUCCUUAUUUUAUUGUCUUGCCUUAGAUUUCCAGAAAGGUAUGGAUGUUAGCUUUUUAAUGCCACUGGAAUCACUUCAUUUCGACCUUUAGAACUCACGUUCUGCACAAAACAUGGACUGAACGUCAAAUCUGCCAAUUACCUUCAAUUUACUCCUUUUUGCAUCUUUCAUCCAAAAGUGCCUUCAAAACAUAAAACAAAUAAUAUCAAGGCAUUUUAUAUAUAAAAAAUAGGCAAAACACUAGUUAAAUGUGGGUGAAACUAUCGAAUAAUAUGGUUGCAUCAGUUCAAUACAAAUCUUUCUUCAUGAGAAAUUUACUACCUUAUUUGAUUAAAUCCUAACAGUUCUAAAGUCUGAAUUUUAGUAUCGCAUUUAUUUAUACUUUAUAUUUUUAAUACCUAAGAGUGUAUUUUAUCGUGUAAUUUUAUACCCCAUAAAUAUUAAAGUCUAUAUCUGGAUCUUAAAAAAAAAUUGGAAAAAGGUUUUUGAUAUGUUAGCAAAACCCUAAUGGAUGAUCAUAAAACUAGUUAUGAUAUCCAUUUUUUGGAUUUUCAAAACAUGAGAAAGAUGCAAUCUUUUAAUGAAAAUAUACUUGGAAAAUUUUUAGGAUUUGGCUAUAUGCAUGAAAACAAAAUAUGUUUUUGAAAAGGGAAAUUGAUUUAAAAGUUUUUGAGAUAUUUUUUAAAAAUAUUUUGAAUUUUUUUAAAAAAUAUAUUUUGAAGAAAACCCAGUAUUUUAAUACCAGAUUUGUAUUUUAUAGUGUAAAUAUAUAACCCGAUAUUAUGCAAAAUUGGUAGAAAAAUAUUUGAGAAAAUCACAAUUUUUUUAAAUGAUUUUUGCAUUUUUUGGAUUUUUUUUGUUUUUAAAUAUUAUAAUACACAUGCGCGCGCGCGCACAUACACAUGGGUUAGGCUGGACUCAGCCUAAGAAAGGUUGGGUGGGCCGAGAUUGGACCAAACUGGUCGGGCCGCUCUUGGCCCAGCAAAACUUUUUAUUCCCCUUUUUGGGCUAGGCUGGGCUAGAACGGGUCCGGCCCAUUCCAAAUGUUAUUUAUUUUGCAGAGUGUGAACUUAUUGUUCACGUUCUGCAUGCAACUACAUAGUUGCAGACGAUGCCGAGAAAAGUGGAAGGCAACCUGGCGGAAAAGAAGGAGUCGCUGUCUAAGUGUUGACAAGAGAUUGGUGAUGGCAUUGAUGGAGAGCUUGGCCGCCGAAGUUACUACUAUGCAGGAAGAAGAAGUGUGCAUAGGAGAGAGAAAAGUGGUGCAACCACCACGUGAGAUGGUUUGAUGGCUACUUGAGGUGGAGAUGAUGGUGAGAAGACAAGUGAUGGUGACUAAAGGCCACGGCACAGAGAGAACUAGUUGCAGGAAAACUGAGUGUGGAAGGAUGCUUUUUGACCAACUUUGCGUCCGAUUUUCUCCUCCAUCAAGCCAUGAAAUCCACCUUUAUUUAUAGGCGGUGGAAGAAGACAAUCUUGUCUACACUAGUAAAAAUUUCAACCCUUGAUUCAGUUGAGAAGGAUCUUAACUGUUGGUUUAAAGUAGGCACUGUCAAAUCUGCAACUGUAGGUUACCCGAGUUGGCCUCUUUGGGGUGGUGCCACAUCCGUUUCUUUGCCAGUGAACCAGUGACGACCAUACCCAGACGUAGAAGGAUAUCUUGUGAUUUAUUCUGUGCAAGUUUUUUCAAAUUUAGUCGACAUUAGGUACAUUAAAUGCAACUGCAAAGUAGGUAUUCAGAUCAACUUUUCAAGAAAAAAAUGAAGAAGAUAAUGAAUAUUACUGAAUGACACGUUGUCUAUCCUUUUUUUUUUUAUGAAACGGCAUCAUUUUAGGUUUGAAUUAGGGAUAUUUUCAAUCUUUAAUUUAGUCCUCCAGCUUUCAAUAGAACCCUUAUUUGACCCUAAACUUUUGAUUUAAUGCAAUUAAGCCCCUGACGAAUUACUAUUUAAGCCCUGGAUUUACACGCCUUUUACAAUAUGGUCCUUGGUCUCGGAUUUAUUCAAUUGAACCCCUAACUGACCAUGAAACUUUUAAUUUCUUCAAUUCCCCCCCAUUUGUGUCAAUUGAACCCCUAUAAUUUGGAGUUUUUUGCAGAUUGAUCCUUGGCUGCAAAUUUUAUCAAUUUAACCUGUAAUUGACCCAAAAACUUCAAUUUUCUUACAAUUUUACCCCUGAUUUCAAUCAAUUAACUUGGAAAAAAAAUUAAAUUUGGUCUUUUAAAAUUCUAAUCUUCUCAAUUAAGCCAAAAUUAGGCUCCCAAACUUAAGUUUUCACCGAUUAAUCCCAAAAUAAAAUUACUUUGACACAUUUAAAGUAUAAUUAAGUCCUUGCACUUAAUUAAAUUCUUUAAUUGGACCUAAAUUAAUUUUUAAAUAUAAUUAAAAAUUAAUUUAGCCCAUGAUUAAAUCAAAUUGGCCCACUAAAAAUUUAAUUAUGUCAUUGGAUUUGCGUUUAACCUUGAAUUUGAGUUUUCUCUCUUUUUUGGGGCAUAAUGGGGUACAAUUAGGCCUUAAAAUUUCCUCCAAAUUUGUUGUUUAAUUCCCGAGCCUGUUUUCUCCACGUUGCCAGCCUUUAUUUUAUUAUUUUAUUUUUAUUUUGAAAAAAAAUGUGAUUUUUAGGGAAUAAUCCAGAAUUGGGUUAUGACAGGAUGGAUUCGAGCCUUUUUUUUGUUCUAUUUUUAUCUAAUCUCGCUCUUUUAUAUUUACUGGUCUAAGAAUUAAGUUAUGUUGUUUGUUCUCUUUUACAUAAAUAUUUUCACAAGUUAUUGUUAUCUUUUUUUUUUUUAAUUCGGUCCAUUUACUAUCAUUACUUUUUUGUUAUGAUCUAAUUAAAAUAAAACCAACUUAUUUGACAUGGUCUAGUCUAUAACUCGAGUAGUAGAUUUUUUCCCCCCUUCUUUAAAGCUCAUUUGCACUACCUAAACAUCACUUUUAAUAUAAACAAAGCCUUACGAUGUAGUAUGGGUACACAACUAGUAAAACCUAAAACAUAAUGACAUUACAACAAAAGCAUAGGGACACAAUCCUUUAAGAAGGAGGUUCAAUGGUACAAAAGCAGCAAUAAUGAUUGUUAAUUUAUAUAUUUUAUGUUUAGCAAGCAAAGAAAGUUUUGCUAGUUGCAAAUAAAAUUAUGCAAGUAUCUAGGUUUUCAUAGAAGACAUUUUUGAUAUUAUAGUAGUUGUCCCUAGCCAAUAAGAAAAAGUGAAUGAAUCUACUAUAAUAAAGUUAUCUAGACCUCAAAAGGCAUGCCUUAAAUGUUUUUAACCCUCAUGCACUGAAAACAAAACCAACUGCAAUUAAGAUUGACAUUUAAGUAAAAGGCAAUGAGAUAAAAGGAAGUUUCAUCAUCAAUAUGCAUUAGGAAAGAAAUAAGAAAAAAAAAUGGAUUAUAUUUAUGGGUUGCCCCGAUGAAGGUGAGGAUUGAUGUUUAUAAAGCAAGUAUUUUAUGAGCUUGGAACUAAAAAUAGGGCAGAAAUUGACUCCAAAAAACAAAAGCAAAACCAAACUUUAUAUAGAGUUUCCAUAAACUUGUGAGAAAUGCCAAAACAUUAGCUUUGGUGUUUAUAUAAAUAGAGUUCUUAAAAAGCCUGGUUUCUUUGAGCACAUUUCAUAGAUUAAGCUUCUUUAAACAUACAUUUAAAAAUAUAACAAAGAUUUGGUCAUUUAGUAAGAGUAUUGUGUCGUCACUUGAUAAUAUAUGAUAGUUCUUAAACAUUAUGGUAUAAUAACUUUAGCAUAGGUUGCAUGGGACCAUUGAUAGAAAUUUUUUGUUUUGUUUUGUCUAGGACCAUCAACAAAAAUCAUGUGAGCAAGAUUGAUGUAAACAUGUUUUGUGUCAGUGGGAAUAAGAGUUACAAUGAGUCUUAUCGUGAAGACAUUUUUAUUAUAUUACGCAUGUAAUAUUGUAAGUUGUUUGUGUUAGCUAUCUAUAUAGGUGUUGUUACCCAUUUUUGGAUUCCCAUAAAAAAAUUGAGAAAAUAAAAAAUAUAUAUUAGGAAGAAAUCCAAAAAAAUAAUAGAAGCAGGAAAAGGAUGCUAGAAUGCCAAAGAAAAGUCAAAAUUGGUUUAGGAGGUUCAAAAAUAAAAAAGGUUAAAAUUUGACAGUAUAUAUUUUACUGAUAAGAGCCUUGAAGACAAGAAAAAUUCAUUUUUUUAAAGAAAAGAAAGAAAAGUUCAAAAUCAGAUGUUUAUAGACUCAAUUAAAUUUUAUCCAAGGUUUAAUUGAAUUUAUAGAGGGUUUGAUUGCAAGAAAAAUUGAUUUUUAAGUCAAUUUAAGCUUUUAUUGGAAGAAAUUAAAGUUCUGGGGUCCAAUUAUAAUUUUGAAAGAGUUGAUUUGGCCAAAUUAGGGGUUUAAUUGCAUAAUUAUUAAAGUUUGAUGGUCAAUUAGGGACUUAAUUGAAACAAUCUAAGACCAAGGACCAAACUAGAAAAGACGCUAACAUUAGGGGAUCCGGUUAGAAUUUUGGCGGGGAUUUAAUUACAAAACUGCAAGAAAUUAAAUGGCUGAAUCAAAAGAAACCAAGCGACGCCGUUUCCACCAUGUCAUCGUUUGCAACAGCUGGUGCUCUGUUAUAAUUAAAGAAGGAGACGUUGGCAGCGAUAAUGGAGCCGUUUCCAAAUCCAGAAGGGAGCGUAUCGCGGUUGACAAACCUCACCACCGUGAUGUACGCUGGCCUACCAAAAACACUCUCAUCCUCUGGCUAUAAUAGCCAGAGGAAGAACCAAACGCAGGGGACGGGAGGAGAGAGGGAGAUCAGACAGACAAGAGAGUUUAUAUUAAAGAGAAAGUACGAGGGAAACAGAGAGGAGAACGUAAGAAAUAGGAGAGAGAGCGGAGAAAUAUUGAGAAAACAAAAGGGAGAGCAGACGAAUCGAACCGAACGGAAAAGGAGGACACAGUAAGGCAGACGACACAGCACCACCUUCAUCUUCGUUUUGCUCAAAACUAGGUACGUUAGAUGGCUUUCUCAGUUCCUGUAUAACGAGAUGAUGCAUGUUUAAUAUGUAAAAGAAGAAAAGAAAACGUGACGAAAUCAACGCUGCAAUCUCUGUUUUUUCUUCUUCUUUUUAUUUUGCUACUGUAAGUAGGAUGAUGAACAGUGUGAAGGUAAAUUAAUUACCUUCACACUGUUCAUGCACGCGUAAAUAAAUAUUAUGCGUGCAUGAGGGAGAUGGGCCGGUCACUGGUUGGGUUGGCCAGGCCCAGCCCAGCUGCGAAAGUUGGAUGGGUCCAGCCCCACCACAUGGGCCGGGCUGGGCCCAGUCCCAAAAAAUAAAAAAUAAAAUAAUAAAAAAAAUGUUUCAAAAAAAUCUGUGAUAUUUUCUUGUUUUCUACUGUAUUUUAAUCAACAUCAAUUUGUCUUUUUAUACUGUAAAGAUACAAGUUUGGUGUUAAAAUACCCGUUUUUCGACAAUUUUUUUUUAUGCAUACGGCCAAGUCUCUCAAAAAAAUAAAUCAUAUUGUAUUUUCAUAUAUAUAUAUAUAUACACACACACAUAAAAAAAAAAUUCAAAAAUAUGUAUUAGCAUGCAUUUUGGCUUUAAUAACCAGUUUAUUAAAGUCACGAGAACUAGACCAAUAUUUCAAAAUUUUCAAAAAAAUUAUUUUGUUUUCUUUUAAUAUCUGGGUUUACGACCUUAUACGUAAGACGUAUUCCAGUUAUUAAAAUUGUUUUGUUGACGCUAGAAUUACUCGAUAAGAUAAGGAUCUCCUUAUCGAUGAGAACUUUUCUUAAACUAUAGAUGAACCAACAAUUAGAAAACACGACCAGACCUUAGAUUUUAUCAGAUAAUUAAAUAAUGCAGCCUACCUUAGGUAAAACGUAUUUGGGGUGGUAAAACCUUCUCUUUACGUAACUAGUCUCAAUCUCUGAGACCAGUUAGGGUUCCUAGUGACCAAAAUACUAGGUGGCAACCCCCACUCCAAUUUUUUCACUAAUAAAAGACAAGAAUUCCUUGUCUCCCCACAUUUUCCGUAUGAGAUAGAUUUGAAGGGUGAAUGUUCUCACCACGACACCGCACACGUGCGACAAUAGGUAAAAUAUUCAUUGAGUUUAUGGUUAAAAAAAAAUUAGUAUGCAAAAAGUAACAACAGAAGCAAACUCUAAAUAGAGCUUCCAUGAGCCUAUGAUAAAUGCUAAAUAUUUUAUCUAGUGUUAAUAUAAAUAGAGUUCUCAUAAUCCUAUUUUUUUAGUACAUUUCAUAAGUCAUGCAUACUGAAAUAGAAUUUCAAAUGUGUAAAAUAUAAUUGAUUGUAAUGUCAAAGAUCAAGGUGGGAGUUUUAAUAGACCACAAAGAUGGACUUGUUAAGGGGUAAGAAAGAGCUAGCUAUUUGGAUGAAAGCUAUAAAAUUUAAAUAAGAUGAGCUUGGGCUUCAAUCACUACCAACCUAUAUAGGAGUUUCCCCUCUUCACGAUGGUGUCAGCCUUGAUUGAUGUUUGUACCCCACCUGUCACAUGGAAAUCCUUCACUUCUUCUCUUAGCUUUAACUGAUUCAAAAAUUUCAAUAGUUUUUUGUCUAACUUUGAAUUAAUGGAAAAGGAGCUACAAGUCUCUAAAUGGAAUGUAGUUUGCUCUAGUUGAAGAAAAACAUAUUUUCUACAAUGUCCAUGGUUUAUUUUGUUCCAAUAACCUUUUAUUUGCCAAAAUUAAAUCGAAGAAAAGAAACCCCUAGUCAACCAUUUUUGGACUAGUUUUAACUUUUUUCCCCCAACUCUUUCAAGAAACUCUCAAAGUUUGCGAGGGACCUAGAGACAAGGAAAACUGACAGAAAAAAGAGAGAGAAAAAAAGAAUCUCUAACAAAAUAAAGAAGUGAAUCCUCUGCAUGUUAGUUUAGAACACCACUAAGGGGAAGGUGGUUUUAUAACCUUUUGCCCUUGAAAGGCUAUAAAAAGGAAAAGAAAAGAAUGAGAGGGGGUCAGAUGCAAGAAAAAAAAACACAUAAAAUAAAAGAAAAAUGAGAUAACAAUCUUUAGGCUGUUGGAAUAGAAAGGGAGAAAAGAGGUGCCAAAGAAAAAAGGAAGAUAUUCUUGAUCAUUUAGAGCUCGAAUAGAGGUUAUGAAUCCAAUUAGUAAUCAACAAGGAAUCAAAAGAAAACCCAUUGCUCCCAUUUGUUUAGCUAAGUCUUCAACUCUUAAUGAGUGGGGUAGAGCCCAAUGAGCACUCUUCUCCUCCCCUUUUGAUCCAUGUUAUAGUUGUUAUUUGAUAGUUUAGUAUUUUGUUCUAGAUGCUUUUAAAAUGUGAUUUGAUCUUUGUUAUUUUUAAUGUGUUAUUUUUAGUCAUUUUUAUGGUCUUUAUAUCUAUCUUUCUUGUUGUUUAGGUCUAUUUUCUGGGCAAUAACUACCAUAAGUUUAUGUAUUUUUAGUCUAGGAUGUGUUUUGGAUUAAUGCUUUUAACUUGUUUGAUUUCUAGAUGCUUUUGUUAAAGGGGGUUUAUACACUGUUAUAUUGUUUUUGUUUUCCUGUUUUUCUAGUCUAUUUAAAGCAUGUUCUUGCCUUUUGAGUUUUGGUUGAGUCAUGUGUGAUGAUAAAGUAUUUGGUUUGGAUCCAAAUUGCAUAAAAUCGUAGGUUGCUUUAGGUUUACAUAUUUUAAACUUAGAUUUUUUUUAUGCAUAAUUAUGAUGAUUUGUUGUUUUUAUUAGUUCUUUUUAAUUUAGAUAUGUUUGGUUUUGAUAAUGUAUCUUGCUAGACCAAGAAGCAUGUUUUGAAGGUCAACAAUGGCAGUGUUUUGUACGUAGUUCUGGGUUUAAAUUCAUCCUAUGAAUAUUGUCAUAUGUACUAGUUUUAGAGCUCGUUUUGAUUCAAUUAUGUUUCUGCAAGUUCAUAUAUCUUUAUUAGUAAUUAAUCUAGGACAUUCAAGCAUCAAUAUCAUGUUUUUGUGGGUUUAAUCUUAGGAUUUUAAUUUUUGAAUCAAAACUCAUUCUUGACAAAUUUGUGUGGCUUUUGAGUGAUGAUUGAGGCAAACUGACACUUAAUUCUUGACAUUGCGUAUAAAAGCAUGCUUUUUUAUUGCUUAAUACUUAGUCUCCUUCGUGUUUUGUGUUUCUAGGUUCAUGAAGAACAAUCAUCGUGUUCUUUAUUUGAUUAUGUGUUUGAUCUAUUUUUCUAUGAAAUUUCUAUUUUUUUUUGUGUUUUUUAACUUUGAUUUGUUUCGGUUUAAACCUUUGCUUUCGGUUAGUUUUUUGGUCAAAUCUCAUUUUUUUUUCUCGGUUCAUAGUUGAACCAGCACUUUGGGUUGACCUGAACAAGUUGAUUUUUGGUCAAUUUGUAAGGCUUUGUUUGGUUAAAUUUUCUUUUUGUUAAGGUUUUUUUGGGUCAAAGGGGUUAUUUGGCCAACACACCUUAUACCUACUUUGACAAUUUUAUGUUUUUGAAUAAAAUGGUUUCGCCAAAUAUACCCCUAAAUAAUUUCAAACAAAUAUGAAAAAAUUCAAGGACCUCUUUUAAAUUUAAAUUCAAGGAUAGUAAACUUAUAUUAUAAACUAUUGACCCAAUAUUAAAAUACUUUUCUUUUGUUAAAAUCUCCUAAAAAAUCAAAAUUCCUUAUAAAAAAUACCAAAAAAUGUGUUAUUUAUUUAUUUAUUUAUGUGUAUAUACCAAAAAGUCUCUCAAAAAAAUAGAUUAUAUAUGCAUAUUUUCUUAUAUAAAAACUCAUAAAAAAAUAGUUUUUCUUACUUUGAAUACAUCUUUAUUUAGGUUUAAUAACUAGUUUAUUAAAUACAUGAGAAUUUAGCCCAUAUUUCAAAAACACCAAAAAAUUAUUUUUGUUUCGUUCAAUAUUAGGGAUUGCAAACUUAUACGUAAGAUGUAUUUUUUAUUUUAAAUAAAGAAGUUUUUUAUUAUUUAUUUUAUAGGUUCUAAAUCUUUUUACCAAAAAUUUAUUUUGUUUAAUAUAUUAAAUUGUGAACUUGUACGUAAGAUAUAUUUCUGGUAUUAAAUAAAAAGACAGUUUCUUUUAUUUAUAUGGCUCUGUUCAUCCUAAACUUUUAACCAGAUUUUAUUUAAUAUAUUUUAAGGUUCCUCAUAAAAUUUCAGCUCAAUGUGAUGGCCGGAAUUAAAAUUACGCCUAAUAAUAUAAGACUAGUCAAAUUGUGAUUUUUCGUCACCUUUUCCGAAUUUCUCUAAAAAUUCUGAAAUUUUAACCCAAGCUAAGGCAUCAUAUUAGAAGGCUCCACAUAAAUUUUUAGAAUUUUAUGAUAACCCGAUCAAGAGUUAUGAAUUUUUUUCUUUUUGUUUUACAAGAAACUAGUCAAUUUAUAAUUUUUCGCCUAGAGGUUUUACAAAAAUGAACUGAAAAAUAAUUUAUUAUUGAAUUAAUAUUUUUUAAAAUUUUAUCUAAUAUAUAUAUAAAAUAUUUAAUAUAAAUAUUUAAUCACUUACAAUAAAAUAAUGAAAUCUAAAAAGUAUAAUGAUGAAUUUUGUUUUAUUAUUAUAUGCUAUAUUCAUACAUAGCUUAUUUUAUAAAAUAUAACUAUAUAUGUCAUAUCAUAUUAUAUAGAAAUAAACAUGUGAAAUAUUUUUUAAGUAAAACAUAUUAAUAUAUUUUUUUCAAUUUUAAAAGCUUAAAAUAAGUUUUUUUUUCAUAUGAAGAAAGCCAAAUUAGUUUAUGGUAAGAGUUAUAUAUUUGGGUUUUUUUUUUGGUAUGAAGUAAUUUUUAAAAGAUAAAUAGAUACAAAAAUAUUUUGAUGGGUUUUUUGGAUAAAUAUUUUUUUUUUACGGGUAAAGGCAAUUAUCCCUUUAAUAUAUAUCAAAUAAUCAUCAAGAAAUAAAUAUAAAUACCUAACAUCAAACAUAAUCAUGCAUAAAUAUUACGUUUCGAUGUCAUAUACAUACAUAUUAGUGCAAAUUACAAACAUAAACAUGCUAGACUGAAUUAAACAAGUUAACAUACUUGUAAUAUAACAAACAUAGUCUGAACCCAAAUUUUGAACAUAUUCAAACCAUCUUAGCAAGCAGACAUGUAGUAGUGUUGUGUCACAAAGUUCUGAACCCAAAUUUUCCUCAAAUUAGCAUUUUUUGCCAACAUUUCAUUUUGAACCAAAUGAUCAAAUGCAUCCCCAAGAGUUAUCUCAUCAAAGCCUUCAACUUUCAUCACUUCCGCAUACAACGCAUUAACAUCAAGUUGAUUUUUGCUGAGACUUUGAAUUGCAAAUGAUACAUCUCUAAUCUGUUUAGACAACUUUUCAACACCAUCAUCUUCAUACAUGCGAUUUCUCUUUCUAUGUUGCCUCUUUUGUGUACUAGAGGAAGAUGUCUCUUUUCCCUUUGAAGUUUCUUCAUAUUCCCCUUCGUUUUCAAUUGAAUUUGAUUGCUCUUCAGUGUUCUCUUCCAAGUUGACAUCAGCAUAUGAUUUGGCAUAAUUUCUGGUUGUCAUGUCUUUUCCAACAACAAUUGUCAUUGCUCGUACAUAUCAAGUUUUUUUUGAGAUACUUGUCAUGAUUGGGAUGUGCAUGUUCAUAAAGUAUAGAAUAUGCAAUUUUUUAGUUCAUUGUAUAACAUUUUAGAAACAAAAGUAAAUAUAAAAAUUAUAAAGAGUAUAAUAUUUAUCAUACCUUUACUUCUUCAUCAUAUACAUCUUUCGAAACUGUAAUCAUCUUCAAACAAUCAUCCCAGCCAAAGCCACUUUUAUUUUUAAGCUUGGUUAUUAUUCCCCAUUCUUUUUUCACAGUCUUGAGAUGAUUAUCAACAUGCUUAGGCUCGCAUUGCACAUUGAACUUUUGACUGAUUUCUGUAGCCACCUUAACAAAAGAUUCUGCUUUAAAGGUGGAAGAAGGUUUGCCUCCUUUAAGUGCCUCCUCAGCUAAUAUCUCAAGCAACAUGUGAGACAUAGGCUUAGACCAUGUGAAGUGCUUGCCCUUGCAUUUUUCAUUAUGCGUGGAACUCAUUUCUACAAAAAAGAAAUUACAAAUUUAUACAAAAUAAAAUCAUACAAUAUUUAGAUUUAAUAAAUUUCAUAUAAAAACUACAAUUAAUAAUUAAAAGAGAAAUUAUAAUAAAGUCAACAUCUACUCCAAACACAUAACAAAUAUAAUACAAACUCAAGCAACAUAAUAAAAAAAACACAUAUAAUUAACACUCAAUUACUAGUUUCUUUGAGUGUUAUAAUCAUUCCACAUGGUUGAGCAAUCAUUUCUCUUUUUGUUAUCCACUCCCUAUUCUCUUCCCUUUCCUCCCGUUGACUUAAGUUGAUUGUUCGUCUAAUUGGUUCACUAUCCGAACAUAUUUCUUCCAUAAGAAAGUCAUAAGGAUCAACCCCCAUUAUGUGAUUAUGAAUAAUACAACAUGCAAGCACAACAUCUACUUGUGUUUCAUAAGACCAAAAAGAUUUUCCAUCAAUUGAUCUAAAACGACUCUUCAAAAUACCAAACCCUCGCUCAAUAGCGGUUCUCAAUGAAGAGUGUCGAAGAUUAAAUAACUCCUUUUCAUUUUCUAGUGAACGUUCUGUAAACUCAUUCAAGUGAUAUCGAACUCCACGAAAAGGAGAAAUGAUUCCUUUUCGAAUACCGUAACCAGCAUCACCAAGAUAAUAUUUCCCUACAAAAUAAUAAAAAAAAAACCUAUUACUAUCUUUAUAUAAUAAGACAUUUUAUAUGUUUAUUGCAUAUAAUACAUAUUUUAUUAUAUACCUUCUGGAAUUUUUAGACCAUUAGAUCUUGAUAAUGCAUCACCUAAAACCCGUGAAUCAUGGGCACUUCCUUCCCAGCCAGCUAAAACAUAUAUAAACUUCAAAUCAAAAGUUAUAGCUGCUAAAACAUUUUGUGUUGUUCCUUCUUUUCGACCUCGAAACUUUCCUUGAAUCUCAACAGGAACAUUUGCAGGAACAUGGGUACCAUCAAUUGCUCCCACACAAUCCUAUAUAAACAUGAAAAAAUAAUUUAUAACAUUUUCUUCUGAAUGUAAUUAAUUAAUUCAUAAAAAUAUUGGUAUUGUUUUCAUAUCUUAAAAUGAGGAUAGAAUCUUCUAUUAUUCAUUAUCUCUGCUGGAACUGUAUUCUUUGGCUCUUUAAUAAAGUGUUUGUAUAACUUAAGAAUUGCUUUUAAAACAAUUUUAAAGUAACGAUGGAUAGUUUCAACAGACCUAUAGUAUAUACCACUAAUAACCCGAAAUCUUUGGUUUUGGCCUACAAUUUGUAAGAACACAAUUACUUGCUCCCUAAUAGACACAUUUUGAGUUGAUCGUAAUAGGUUACGAUUUGUGAGAACAUCACACAAUCUAUAUAAGACAACAGGUUUCAUACGAAUCUGUUCAACUCAAUGUCGAUCACCUCGGUUCAAAAUGCUGUCAAUAUAGAAUUCUCGUUGAGCAAUUGCAUUUAUACGUGGUUCUCUUGGUAUAUAAAUUCUAUUUUUUUCUUCUUCAAUAAUAGCUACCCCUGUAGCUAUCACAGUUACAGUUGUUCCCAUGCAUGCUGCAUUAAUUAUCUUACUAUCCAUAAUAUGAAAUUGAAGUUUUCUGAUAACAAAACCUAAAAAUAUAAGGAAAUAAAUAUUAAAACAAGCAUAUAAAAUACUUACACAAUCAAUACAAUAAAUUAUGCUCAAAGAAGCUGACAAUAUACAAUUCAGAAGUUCACAACGAUCAAUAACAUCAAUCAUUUUAAUUCUAAAAAAUAAUGUGAUUAUCAAAUAAUUAAAUAAACAUAAGUUUUGAAAAUCACCUCGUAUGCGGCAACACAACACACAAUCGAGUUCAUGGCUAGGUUCAAUUCUAUUCUAUUUUGGAACAAUACCUACUUAGAGUUAUAUUACAUUAUAUUUUAUUAUGCUAUUAAACACAUAAUUUAUAACUGAAAUUAUAAAUAUAGUAUAAUUGGUUCUACUACAACAAUAUGAAUAAAUUAACAUAAUUUUCUUUGUUCUCUCGCCUAUCUCUAACUCUCUCCUAUAAAAUUAAAGACGGUUUCAUUCCUUCUCCUCAUUCGAUUUCAUUCCCUUUCCCCGUGUUAUAAUCGUUCGGUUUCUCCUUAUUCGGUUUCUCCUCAUUCGGUUUCAUUCGGUUUCAUUCCCCUUCCCAUCAUCAUUCGGUUUCUCCUCCCAUUCGGUUUCAUUCCACUGUCAUUCCCAUCUCAUUCAGUUUGUCAUUCGGUUUCUCGUUCCCCUAGCAAUCAGUUUCUCAUUCCCCUCUCAAUCGGUUUCUCUCAUUCGAUUUCUCAAAUUCCUCUUUCAUUCCCCUCUGAUUCCCCUAAUUCCCCUCAUUCCCCCUAAUAAUUUUAUCGCCUAUCACUGUUCGUUCUCUCUUGCCUAUCACAGAUCAUUCUCUCUCGGUUGUCUCUCUUUCCCUGUUCUCUCUCGGCUCUGUCUCACCAAUCCCUGUUCUCUGAAGAAGCAGGACACUAUCACAUAUUGAAGGGGUAAGGAGCAGGAGAGCUAGACCUCAAGGAUCUACUCAUCAUCCCCAGUUCUCAUCCCUCUCUCACCUGACAGUUUACCCUCAUGUUUGCAUGUCUCUCUUUGUGCUGGAUCCGUCACAAGGUAGGGGCUGGUUAGGUCUUGUUGGGGAUUUUGAUUUCUCUCAAGAAGCUGCCGAAUGUGGAAGAAAAAAUGUGUGUUUUAUGGCUUGAUUGUGAUGAGAAAUUGAUUGGGUUUUUCUGCAGAUGUUGUUUGAAUGUGACGAGGAGAUGAAGAAGAAAAAUGGGUAUGAGAAAAAAAUUGACAGGCAGAAGAUAAAUUAACAGAAAUAAAAGUUUUUUUUGGAACAGACAAACAAGAUCAAGGAUUAUUUGCUAUUAUUCUUGCAGAUCUAAAAAAUACGAAGAAGAUGAAAACAUAAAGGAAAUAAUACAGAAAUUUGUUGAGGGAAAAAAUACUUGAACUGAAGAGUGUGAUUCUUCAAAUCUUCUUGCUUUUCAAUUGUUUUUGUUUUUGGACAGAGAUGCAGAGAGGGGAAAGAUAUGUUUUAUCAACGGAGCUAAAAAUAGGAAAGUGUUUUCCUUUUGACAAGGAAAGGAAAACACUUUCAAGUGGGGAAAGUGAAAUUUUUAGUUGACUGGAAUUAGUUUUCCUUUGACUUAUUUUCCGGAUAGUCACCAAACAUGGAAAACUAAGGAAAAUGAAUUCCUGGAAUUCAUUUUCCUUGAAACAAACAAGGCAUUAAGGGAAACUUGAAGGGCAUAAUUUAUGAAAUGACAAAAUUAAUGUUUUGAUCAAAUGAAUAAAUUAGUGGCUAGAAAAAAGGGUGUGAUGAAUAUGUAGAUUAAUGAAAUAAUGAGUUUAAAAGCCUAUAUGAGACAUAAUGAAUGUUCAAAAUAAAUAAAUUAAAUUUAGUUGAUCAAAAGGUAGAAAAAAGAUUGAGAUGAACUAAAGAAAAUAAUUAGCUGAAAAAAGCAUAACAAACAUUUGAAUUGAAAGAACGUGGUUGGUAAUUCAAGGUAGCUUCUACGAUGUUGAAAUGGGAUUAAAUAAUUAAUGAAUCCAAAAUUUAACUAGAUCAUAAGUUAAAUAUAUGACAUGAUAUUAAAGAAUCCCUAAAUGAAGCCAAGUAUAGUUAAGGAAUAGUGAAAUGGAAAGUGAUAUGAAAUAUAUUACAUUGUUAAUUGAGAAAUAAUAUGGAUUUGAUAUACUUGUGUAUAGAAAUGUAUUAUAUAUGAAAAAAAUGGCAAAACACAUGUAAUUUAAGGAAGGGAGGCUCAUUAAAUGAUAGAUCGAGUGAAACAAGUGAGGAUUAUGGUAUAGGUAAAAAAAGUUAAUGAAAUGAUACUUAGUGUUUAUUAAUUCUAGAAUUUGAUUAAUCGAUUACUUGGAUAGAAUUUUAGUGUACAAAAAAUCUUGUUUUUUGUUUUAUGUGUUUUAUAGGUGUAUCCAUCUAGGGUAUCUUGAGUUCAUGCUCCAAAUCUUUAUUGGUUAUUUUAUUUUGAGAGAGAUUUUGUAAAACUAGUUAAAUUUAUAGAGUAAAUCAUUAUAUGUAAUUAAGCCAUAACUAAUAUAAGGAUUGAAAUAAUAAUGAAAAAAAGGAUGAAUACCUUGUUAUGUGAAAUUAUGAGACUGGGCUUCCAAUAUGAUAUUGUGAGUGUGUGUAUAAAUUUACACAUUUCUUAUGCAUAUUAUAGCUAAGAUUUACAAGGCAUUACAAUUGCAGUUUUGUAUGCAUCUAAGUUGUAGUAUAGUAUGUAAAUAUAAGAAUACUUACAUGUGUUUAAUCAUUGUCUACCUUAUUAAGUAUUUCAGGUCCAUCUUAUCUACCACCAUCUUCUCAAUCUCUCUAUUUUUUUUUUUCAACCAUAAGGAUUGUAAAGUGAUGAAAAUAAAGUUUUGAUCCAAAAAACAAAAGUUUCAAACUAAAAAAAACCAAAACUAAAAAUGAAAAAAAUCAUACUAGCAAAGAUUUGUAAAAUAGCACCUCAUGAAUAACAUUAAAAUAAAUUGCAUUUUUUUAUCACAAUCAAAUUUAGUAUAACAGUUUUUAUUUUUUGCAACCAAUAAAACUGACUUUUAUCUUAUAAGAUGGAACAUCAAUAAAUUAUUGAGAAGUUUUUUUUAAUAUCAUGAUAACCCUAUAACAUGCUAAUUUAAACAAUAAAUCAAGCCAAAACCCUUGUCAAGACACCAUACAAUGAUGAAAUUUAAAAAAUAGUAAUUAAAUUAUAAAACUAUAAAAAAUAGGAGACACUAUUGAAAUCUACAUUAAUUUCACUCACAACACACAAUAUAUUGUUAGUGAAUACGUCUUGUAGCUAAUAGUUGGUUACACGUUCCAUUGAUUUUAUUAAUUUAAAACAUAUUUAUUAUUAAUAAAUGUUUUAUUUAUCUUUAAUAUUUAUUUAUAUUUGAUUAAUAAAUCUAAUGUAUAAUUAAUGAAUAUAGAGUAAAAAUAAAACUAAUGGGACAAAAAUACUUUACAAAAAAAAUUAUAAAGUUAUUAUAAUUAUGAGAUUCUUGUUGUAUCAAAGUAUUGUUCGGAAUAAUUUGUUCCUAAAUGUUCAUGGUCAAUGUUCUAUUAAUAUUGAACAUUAAUUAGAGUUGUUGAGACCAAUGCAUAUUAUGUUUUUUCCUUUAUAAAAGAAAGCAAUUGCUCUCAUAAACUGAGGUAUAAGAGAUAACUAAAACUAAUAUACAAGUAUUUGUUAGAUGACAUAGACACUGAAUUGACUUGCAAGGAAUUCCGUGUGGAGAUCACCUUGUCUAUGAAAAUGUUCUCGUGAUAGUCGUAUAAGUUAUUCUUAGACUUGAGAUUACUGAAUUAUAUUAUAUAGAGAGUUAUGCUUUGAUCUCGACCACACAUUGUUAUAAUCAAGAGUAACAAACUGGCAAAUAUUGAGUAUAACAUAAACUAUAUGAAUGUAUUUAAGUAAUUAAAAGAUGAUUCACCAUUCUAGGUGAAUUAGGAAAAAAAUUUCAUUUGUUUUUAAAUAGUAUUGAUUGUGAAAUUCUUGACCAAUGUAAAAAGAGUUUCAAAACCGUAUUCAAAGAAUCAAUGCCUAUAACGUUGAGAACUAAAAUGAUCUAAUAAAGCAGACAUACUUCAGUCCAUGCUAUAAUAUUUAAAUUAAAAUACUCAUGAUGAAGGGAUAAUAAUUACACUGAAAAACUAGUCACUAAAAAGUUAAGUUAAAUCACUUAUGACUUUCCUAAUAUUUAAAGGAUCAUGGCAUGUUGUUAGACAUUGUACUUGAUCUUCAAAUAUAAAUCAAUUAAAUAUUAAAUUGAUAAUAAAUUAAAAAUUUUAAUUUAUUUUAUUUUAUUUCAUUUAGGAUUAUAAUUUAUAUUGAGGCCAACUUAUUAGGAAAUCUAAUGGGUUACACACAUAAAAAUCAUUGGUCAUGAAUUUAAAUCGAAUGAUUAAUCAAAUGUGACUUGAUUGUAAAUACAUUUUAGAAAUUAAGAAUUAUAAUGUAAUUAAUACAAGAGAUUACAAUUAUAUACCUAGAAAUAAUCAAGAAAAGACUUGAUUUGAUAAAUUUCUAAAAUUAACCUAAAAUAAUAUAUAUGAUAUUGUUAAUUUAAGGGGUAACUUGAUAUUUUAUCAUUUAUAUUAUUUUUUAGGUUUUUUUAUAAAUAGAAAAUUAUACCUCUUAUUUCCACCAUGUAGAGAAGAGUGAAAAAAGUAUAGUAUGCAAACACUUAAAAUACAAAAAGAAAAAAACUUGUACUCUAAGUUAUAGUAAUUUCUCUCUUCUAAAAGGGUUUAAGAGUUCUCGCUAGUGGUUCAUGUGGAUUAUCGUUAGUAGCCAGACAUUUAACGACUUGUGGUUUUUGACAACUCAACCUUGAAGCAAAUAUUCAAUAUCCAAAGAACACCUAAUCUCUAGGUAAUCUUCACAUAAAUAUCAAACAACUCUAGAUAUAUCUAACAUAAUCAUUUGGAGUCUCAAAAAAUUUUAAAUUUAUUAUUUCCGUUGUGUAUAUGUGUUUCAAGAAACCCAACAUAUACUCCAGAAUAAACUCACCACAACAAUUUGUUUUCUUCUUAAUUUUAGUUUGUUUGGUAUUGCGAUAAGUUUUGUGAUUGUGGUAUGGAAAAAAAAAGUUUUAAAAAAUCACUUUUAGUUAUGGUUGCUUUGAUUAAAAUAUAUGUUUAAUUAAAAUUAUGGUUAAAGUUAUUGUUCAAUAAAAAGUAUGUCCAAAAUGUUUCGUUAAAACAAUGGUUGAAAUUGAUGGUGGUACUAAAAUGAUUUAAAAGUAUAAAUAUUAAUUUUUUAUUUUCCAAUUACAUUAAUGUGCAUUUUAUUAUUAAUAUAUUUUAAAAAACCAAUUAUGUGAAUUACAACAUUGAUUUUAUUAAAUUUACUGUAAUACCAUCACAAACAUGAUCUAUAUAGGAAGACCUCUCGCUUUAACGGGAUUGUGAACAUAAAACCACAUCGAUUAAAAAAAUUCUUAGGAACAAAAUCAAGAUGUGGAUCAAAUUAUAUAAAUAAUUGGUGAGAAUUAAUAUAUAUAUAUAUAUAUAUAUAUAUAUAUAUAUAUAAUUUAGACAUAUAGAAACUUGGAUCUUGGCAAAUUUUUAUCUUAUACAAAAACUAUCCUGCAUUAAUUUUUUGUUAUUUUGGUUUGGGUAGCAAAUUUAACAAUAAUAAAACACAACUUCAUAAAAAUUAGAGGAAAAAUAUAGUGAAAACAUGCAGAAAUAUCGUCUAAGAAAGCGAGUUCAAAACUCAUUUAAUGGUAAGGCUCAUUAAAAACUAAAUUUAAAAAAAAUAAAGAAAUAGCUUUUUAGAUAAUUUUGAUAUAUUACUAUUAAAAAUGUAUUUUUUAAAAUAAUAUUUUAAUAUAUUUUUAAAUAAAAAAUAUUUAAAAAAAUCAAAAAAAUUAAAUAUCAAAUAGACUUUUUAUACGAAAACUUUUUUAAAUCCCAUAGAAAUCUAAGGGGGUGUUUAUUUGUACGGAAAAUUGUUUUUUGGAAACUAUUUUUCAAACUUUUCUGUGUUUAUUUGUCAUUAUAAAAGUUGGUCAACAUAAAACACUUUAUAAUCAAAGGAAAAUUUGGCUUGAUUUCUAGAAAAGUGUUUUCUUUUUAUUUUGAAACAGAAAACAUUUUCCAGAAGUUGUGAAAAAUUUAGAAAUAUCAUAUUAUUUGCUGAUUGCAUUAAAUUUGAUUCCCAAACUUUUGAUUGAUAUAUAUUUUGUUUGAUUUUUUUUUUAAUUUUAUCCUUUAAAAUUUGAUUUAAUUUGAUUUUUAUAUUAACUUUGAUUCUUAUUUUUAUAAUUGUUAUUUGCUUUUCUCUUACUAAUGUUUUAAUUGAAAUUUUUUAUCCAAAAAAUUUGCUCUUCAUUCUUUUGAUUGUUACUUAUUUUAUUUGAAAUAAUUUAUGAAAUUGUAAUUAUUAUUAUUUUAAUUUUAUUAUUUUAUAAUUUUUUUAUUUGUUAGAUUUGGUCUCUAUUAUUUUGAUUAUUAUUUAUUUUAUUUUAGAUAAUUUAUAAAACUAGAUUUUUUUCAAUUUCAUUCUUAUUCAACUUUUUAAUUUGUAAGAUUUGUUCCUCAUUAUUUUAAUGAACUUGAUAAAAAAAAUAAAAUAUCAAUAAGUUAUUUUCUAGUUUAUUUUUUAUAAAAUAACCAAACACUGAAAAAUAUUUUUUAACUUAUUUUUCAUAAUACUAUUGAACAUUAAAAAAUAAGUCAAGAGAAACCACUUAAAAAAAACACUUUCGAAACAGGAUAUAAGUGAAAUAUUACUAAAAUGCAGGGAGAAAAACAUAAAUUAUGUAACAUUUUCAAUUACCCGUAUGUCCCGAGGCACAUUCAAAUCAAAUCAACAAAUUAGAAUUAAAAAAAAAGAGAGAAAGAUGAAAAAAACGCAGAUAAAUUGAGCGGGCUUUCGCUAGGGUUUUCACAGAACAAAAACCCACUCGCUAUCUCUUCUUCUUCUUCGAUUUUUUCCCCGGCGAUUUACUAUUCUCAUUUGUCACCACCAUUGCGGUUUUGAGCGAGCAGAUGCAUUACUCCGUGCACUAAACGGCACCGUUUGCUUUCCCUAGAACCUAUAAUACACAACUGGACUCAGGUUCUGUUUCCUUUUGAAAUUCUUUUGAUGAUCACGUAAUCCGAAAUCCGAAAUCCGAGAAAAGUACACAGUAUGUUUUUGAGCUGUUUUUUUAUAUGAUAUUAUUUGAAUUUAAUUUAGUAGACAAUUUUUAUUUUUAUUUUUCAUGAAAGGAGUUGCUGUUUACUUUAUUUUCGGGCGACAUGCAUGAAUGCUAUGUGAUUGUGCAUUUUUUUUUUUCGCGGUGCCAAUUUUGUUUAAUUAUGCAUAAAUACAGAUAAUUACUGUGGCAUCGGUAUGCCAUUAUGGAAUUAGUUUUUGUCUCUAAUAAUUUGAAACAUAUCAGCUCUUGAGGUUUUUUCUUGCGAUGUUGUUAUUAUACCACAGCAGCAUUUCAUUUCACCAAAAAGAGGGGGGGAACCUAAAAAUUGAUUUUGGAAAAUCAGGGAGGGGUUGUUUUACCCUCCAAAAUUGCCGCACCGUGGCGAUAUUCAUGAAUGGAAUUUAAUAGUUAAGGGACUAACGGCGUACAGUUCAAACUGUAAUGCUGUGCCCCUGCACUGUCGGAUUAUGUGGUGUAAUGUUUGUCCAAGGGUUUUUUUUUUGUCAGAAUGCUUAGAGUUUAAGUUAGACAAGCUAACCGGCAAAUUAAUGCGUGAUUGCAGGGAAAACUAAUUAUGCAUGGUGAAUCUUGAUAAAUAAGUUACCUGUGGAUUGGAAAUGGUAAUGUGUUUCCAACAGAAAGUGUUACAUUUAGAUGUCCUCUUAGAGCUUGAACUUUCUCGAAGAACAUUUAUGUUUAUUGAUGUCGUUAAUUGGUGUUUACACACUGUUUAGAAAUGAUUGAAGUGUUCUUACGUAUGGCUGUUCUCAUGACUCUGUUUUAAAAUACUGUAGCUGUCUUCUGAUAUGGCUCUAGCUUCCUUGCUUGUUUUUGAAAUGUUUUUCCUCUUUUCUGUUUUUUUUUCCAGCUUGAUUCUACAUGUUUUACUGAACACAACAAUUUGGAAUAGCCUGUUAUCUGAGUAUGGUAGAAGCAGAAAAAGCCAACUGCAUUGAAUUCAAGUGGGGUAAAAAGAGAGGAGUUGGUGGCAAAAAGAAAGAUGUACAGUUUUAUGAAUCUUUCUUUUAUGAUGGUGUGGACUAUACUCUUUACGAUUCUGUUUAUAUGUACAAGGAAGGUGAGCCAGAGCCUUAUAUUGGUAAGCUCAUAAAGAUAUGGGAGAAUGCUGACAAGACAAAGAAAGUGAAGGUUCUAUGGUUUUUCCGUCCUCGUGAGAUUUCAAAUUAUCUUGGAGACGAGAAGACUCCCAAGAAUGAAUUGUUUUUGGCCUCUGGUGAAGGUGUAGGCAACACAAAUGUUAAUCCUUUGGUAAUCAUUUUAGAUUAUACCUUUUUUUAAUAUAAUUUUGGCUUGUCUUCGGUAGUGACUUGUUAUAUGACUGUAAUGACAUAUGGUUUGGAUGGUUUAUAAAUUUCAAUGGGGGAGUGGAGAAGCUUAGUAUAAAUUUUGUGACACAAUUGCUAUUGGAAUAAUGUCCAUGUUUGGUCAAACGUACAUAAAUAUAUGCUGCAUGUUGAAGUUCUACAUGGGGCACUUUCAUAACAUCAUACUCAUCUAGUUACCUCGUAAGUGCUAAAAGGCAAAUAGGUUUCAUGGAGAAAACAAGAGAAAACUAGAGGGUUCUAUAUUUGCAAAGACAUGUUCAAUUUUUGUUUUAAUGUUUGGGCUCCAUGUUCCUCAGACCUUCCGUUAUAUUUGACACAUGAAGUAGAAUUUGGACAUAACAUCUUUGAGGGGCCUUGCCUGAUCUCGCAUUGAGGGGAGAGAAGGCACAAUGAGGUUUUUUUCCCUUUUUUAAUUCGUUUCUUUGAUUAUGUUUGGGCUUAUAGCAGUCCUCCAUUUUUUCUCUAGAUUGUUUUACUUAGGGUUCUUGUCAAGGAAAAUAAGGUCAUCCAUUCUUAAAAUUUAAUGUAUUGUUUUCAAUAUUUCCUACACUUUUAAUUACAUCUAUUUCAUUCUUAAUUUGUAGCCAAAUCUUCAAUAGGUCCUCUUGGCAUAAUAAGAUGUCCACUGACAAUCAUACAUACAAAAUGUAAUGCUUUUGAAUAGAAAUGAAACAGUGUUAUUUCUUAACACCUUAAAACAUCGUCUUGGGUGUUUUCUGUUAUCUUUUACUGAAAUUUAAGAAAUUUUCGUACUGGACUUCAAAUUCAAUUUUUUUGCAUUGGAAACAUAGUUGGUGCUUUUGAGGAGCUUGUUCUAGUCAGGUUAAUUUCUCAUGCAUCAAAUCAGGAAGCAAUUGCUGGAAAAUGCAAUGUGGUAUGCAGUUCAAAGGAUAGUAGAAAUCCACAACCAUCAGAUGAAGAACUUCAAGAGGCUGACUUUGUAUUUGACCGUGCAUUUGAUGUUGGGAACUGUAGGAUCUUGGAUAAGAUAGAUGAAAAAAUUGCUGGGAUUGAAGGUAUGUGUUUUUUUUUGCCUUUAAUACUCCUGUACUAUUCUUUUAUAAAUUGAUUAAGACUUUAUCAUUACAUUCCUGUAUGUUUGCCGUGUCUUCAAUUGUUGCAGUAAAGUUCUUAUUGAACAGAGUUGGUAAUCAGAAUUCCAGUGGUGUUCCAAAACUUGAUUCAAACAAGAAAGAAGUCAGUGGAAAUGCUGUGGUUACUGAUGACACGAGGAUUUUGGCCAAGAAAGAAUCUUAUCCUGGAGAGAAAGCUGCUUCUAGUUCUGGUGUACAGUUUGAUGAAGUAGCUAAAACAAAUGAAAGGCAGGUAGAUGUUUUUGGCGAGACUGCAAGUUCAAGUUCUAAGAUUAAGGAAAUUUCAGACAUGUAUAACCUUCAUUGGUCAAGAACAAAUCUUCACUAAUAGAAAAUUCUGUAUCUAAUUUAGGCUGGGUUAGGUGAAAUUACUAAAGAUAAUAAAAAGGAAAGCAUAUUGAUUGACAUCCCUUCAAGAUCUAAAGAUGAUGUUGGCAAGAGUGAAAGUAAAGUUGGUAAUGUCUUUGUUGAUCAGGUUUUAGUUGAAGAGAAAUUGAAAGUUGCCAAGGCUUCUGGUGACUUGGAUGACAGAUCAUGUAAGAAAGCAAAGCUUGAUGACUCGGCAAAAGCAUCUUAUGAUAACAAGGUGAAAAGCACACAGAAAUUAAGACAUGAUUCCAAUGACAGUAGUUCCAAGGCUGUGGCUCAAAUAACCCCUGCUGCUGAAGAUAAAUCAAGGCCUAACCUUACUAAAGAUCCCCAGGAGACCAACAAUGCACUUUCCGAGAAGCCAAAGCCUGAUGAGAAGCUAGCUAAUGGCAAGUUUCCUGAAGCAUCUCUAAGACAGCCUUCAGAGGAGGCCAGUAAAACUAACUAUAAAAUACAGGAACCCACUCAAAGGCCAGCAACUGUAAGUUGCAUUGCCAGAAGUCCUUUUUUUCCCUUUAUUUAUCAAGGUCUGUUGCUAAAUAACUUUAAUGUUGUACUUCCAUUUACUUAGCAUCGAUGCUUCUAUUAAGCAAAAAUAAUGCCUUUUGACUUAAGUGAAGAGCUAGAAGGAUAAGAGUACUAAUGCUGAACUGAGAAAAGAUGGAAGACGAACCAUAGGAACCUACCCCUUGAACACAAGGAGUUUUCUUCAACACACUGAAAUACACUUGAGAGUUGAAUCUGAUUCUCAAUGCAUUAUCAUAAAUAGCUGUCCUUAAAAUACCGCUUAAGGUUUUUCAUAGGUACCAACUGUAGAACAGUUCUAAAGAGAGUGGGAAAGAAAUAAAACUUUCUAUGGUUUACUGUUUAAUCAACAAGUUAAAUAACAAACUUCUUAAACAAUAAUAAAAUUUCUAAAGUGAUACAGUUACAGAAAAAACAAACCUAAACAACCGAUCCCAGAUUGCAUUGAGUAGCUUCUGCAUGGUGCCAACUAUAAUUUUUUGGGGUGUAACAGACUACUGUAGUGAUGUUAUAGAAAAGAAAGGGUGGAUUCUGGAAAAAAUAUGUGCUAUAUAUGUUUGAGAUUUGGAUUGCAGCAAAAGGAAUGAUGUGCUCAAGCCUCAUUGGUUUCCUGUAUCUCCUUCAUUUUCAGCUCAUUGAUGUCUUGCAUUCCCUGCUUUUAAUUGUGCUCAUUGACCUCUUAUAGUGCCUGCUUUGUUGUUCUUGAUGAGUAACCUGUGGUGAAAGUUAGAUUUAGUACUUACAUUUUUGUUAUUGAUAUGUUGACAGGAUAGAAGCAAGUGGUUUCGAGGACUUGUGAGUAUUCUUUCUCAAAUUUGUUUCUGCUCCUGAUUUCAAGUGAUUUUACGAUCCCUACAUUUUUAUUGUUGUAUUUUGCUUUCUUUCUUGAAGGACCAUUAAACCAAAGUGAUUUAACCAAUGUCUCUCAAUACUCUUUAAAGGUUUAGAAUUCAAUGCCCACUGACCACAAAAAAAAUCUAUUGUUGGCCGCUUGCUUAGCCUGUAGUCGAAUGGGCUAUCAUAUAUAGGGAGGCUCUAGCCCUAGAGGUAGACUAGUUGGAGGCCCAACCGAUAAAGCAAAGAGUGAUUUAAGCUAGAUGCUAUUGUAGAUUAUUGAUGUGAUAAAAAUUAAGUCAAAAUGGGACACGCUAUAAUAAUGUUUUAAUUGCCUUGUAUAUUCUUACCAGCCAUGGGAAGAAACAAUGCAAACUGCUCAUGAGCAAGGAACUCUUGUCCUGCUACAGAAUUUGGAUCCGUCUUAUACUUCAGCAGAAGUAGAGGUGAUUCUGAUUCUAGAAUUCAUUUUCUUUACUAGCUUAUCCUCUUCCAUCCCUUUCUGUUUCACAUCACAACCAUGCUGUAGUAAAACACUUCAUGUGCGGUUUUCCUACAGUAAAGUGGAUAUUUCAACCCCCACUUCUCUUUCACUCUUGGCCUUUGUUUCUAGGUUCUAUGCUUGCUAUGCUAUUUUCUGUCAUGUUCCAAGUAGUGGUUUCUUCUUGUUACAGUACCUUGAGAAUGCAUUGAGGCUCAUAAUUUCCUUGCCCUGGAUCAGGGUCUCAUUUGGCAAGCCUUCAAGCAAAGUUGCACUGCGAAGAUGAUUCAAAGGACUGCACGUUCCAGCCCUCACUCUGGUACAAAUGAAAGUGGCUAAUUAAUAGUUAAACUUCAUAAAUUUUUUAAUUAAGGGCAUUGUUUUUUCUUUUCAUUUCUUUUUUGUGUCAAUGUGUGGGUGGGGGGAGGGAAUCUGGACACCCUCUAUUCUGCCAUACAAAGAAUCACCUGUUACUGGAUUUUGAUUUUGUUAGUUGUUUAUGCUCUAGGUCAGGCUUUUGUUAUAUUCCAAAAAAGGGAAGUAGCUGAGAUGGCAGUUGCAAAAUUAGAUGAAGUUUGCUUAAUGCUAUCAAAUGGGAGGUAUGUUUUCUCCCUCUUUCAGCACUGGUGCACAUCAAUUAAAUAUUUCCUGCUUAGGGGUUCUACUUUACCAGUAGAAAUUCCAGUCAAAGGCUCACCGGUUUUAUCAAUAUUAAUGCCUCCCUGCUGCUCAGUCUGCAGUGUUCCCCACUGGUUAACAUGGUAGUGUUAGCUUAUAUUUGUUGGCAUUGAAGUGCCCGGGAUUUUUUUUUCUUUUAAUUGUUUCUGUAUGUAUGCAAUGCUUGCCCUGGCCUUCUGGACAUGUAAAGCACUUAUUUUGACAGUUAUGGGCUAAAAUCCAUAAUUUGUUAUGCAUCAAGUCUUGUUAUUUUUUAUAUCUGCUCUGUGAACUUUUAGUUUGCUUGUUAUUUGACAGUUUAUACUUUUUAGAUUCCCACCUAUUCUUCUAUUCAUGUUCAUAUUUACAGGCCUCUGGUUGGUAGCAUUGCUGCUCCUUGUUUCCCAGGAAAGCAGACAACUUUUUUUGGUCAUCUCACUAUCAAUAAACUUAGAAUCCACAUGCAGCGUGAGAUGGUAAAUUUUAUUCUUGCUCUAACCAUGCUUGCACACACUACAGGCAAUGUUUAAGUGUAUAAACUUGUCAUGCUGCUUCCCUCCUCCCUUUUUUCUUCCCAUUGCUGUGAUUAAAAGAUGUUCUUAUGCACAGAAAGAAGCAGUAUCUACUUCACAUUGUUCUCAGCCCAAUACACUUGAGUAUGAAAUGGCAAUGGAAUGGCGCCUACUGCAAGAAAGAUCAGAUCUAGCUUUGAGAAAGCUACGCCAGGUCUCUAUAAUUAAUUCAACUAUUUAUCGGGAUUUAGUAAUCUCUUAAGUUUUUUUAAUAUCAACAAGAAUGCUGGAAAAAAGAUUUUUGUUAACUUUUUUGAAUUGGGCAUUUUGAUUUUUUUUUCCCAGCAACAAGAGCAGGAGUUGAGAAAACUUAGGGCUACAUUGAAGUCUAAAUGAGCUGUGAUGUCUCAGUUUAUUGACACUUCUUGACACAUUUUUCAGAGAAAAGGGCAGGCUAAAAAAAUUGUUUGUUUUGGGUAAGCACUCACAACAUGGAAACACUGUGCCUUCCAAUUAUCUUUUUAGUUUAUGCAAAUAUUAUUAGGCCCAUGCACGUGUUAAUUUUCAAUCUUUGCUCACGAAUUUUAAUUUUUCCUUCUCAAAAGAAAAGGAAAAAGAAAACACCCAUUAUAACCCGUUAGAGGUUAGCCCCGAAAUGGACUUAAAUUCAGUCAAUCAUCAGAAGUUAAAGGGGAGUUCACGUGCUGUGUGAGAUUGUCUAUUACACUGGAUUAUGAGUUAGGUCCCACUUUUUUUUAGCAACUUCUUUCCGUGUUGGAUCCACUUCCUUUUGCGUACCUCCAUAGCCAUAGCUUAGUCUUAUUCAGUGAGCUGCACAGUUGCAUGUCUGCAACUAUUUAAGCUUAUUUUUCCAAUAGAGUGGUUGUGAAAGCAUCAAGAUCAAGAGAAAACAAUUGCCAAUUUUUGUCCCCUCCCCCUCCAAAACUUCUCAUGUGGAGCCCCAUAUCAUCACGAGUUUAUGCCAUUGUCGACGGUCAUUAGAUGAAAUUGGAUCAGUUAAUUGACACGAAUAUGCACUCUUUUCUCUAGUUCCUGCAUGUUGAUUUUGGCAUUUCACAAGGGUAAUUGAUGAAUUCUGAAAUGCUUCUCUUGGCGACUUCUUUGCAGAAUGGAUGGAAUGCAUUUGGAAAGCCGGAACUCCACUGGUUAGAUAACAAGGCACUAUUUUUGUUCGCGCGCCAGUAAAUGUGCUAGGCGGAUCAGUUUCGGGCAUUGUUGGAACAUGGAAAUCAGGUCCCGUUCACAACUAUUUUUGUCGUUCACCUGAUUUACAUAUGAUUGAUUUAAAUGUUACCUUUACCAGCUUGGAGUUUUGUAAGUUACCUCGGUAACUUUUUUUGCUCCAGUGGCUGGGUUACAUCAGGUGGUAAUUCUUCCUCCCAGUCUCUCUUAUCAUGCAUGGGUGCCAUUUUAUGUUUGGUCUCUUGGUCCAUUACCUAGCGACUUGAUGAGCAAACUAAUUGCCAUCUGAAAUUCCUUGUCUGUUUUCUUCCUUUUGGGUUUCUUACUGGUUCUAUACAUUAUGACACCAUCCCAUUGCCCCUAUUGUCAUAGCCUCUCAUGUUUCAUAAAUUGCAGAUGUUCUAGGAAAGAACAGUAGCCUGAUAAUCCGUAAGAGAUGAGCUCACGAACCUGGCUUAGUUGGACCAAGCUAACUAACCGCACAAUCAAUAAAAAUUAUACUUGAAAAUAGAAAAUGCUAUGGGUCCAUGUAAAAAUUUUCGUUCGCCUGGGAUGUUGACUAGGCUUUUAGUCUGCUAAGUUAUCAAUCAAUUCGAUGCCAUUUUAGAACAAGGGUGAGGGAGUGGUUCUUUCUUCACUAAAACGAUGCCAUUUUGGAACAAAGGUGAGGGAGUGGUUCUUUCUUUACUAAACAUGGGAUUUGCUUUAAUGGUUCCUUUAAGAGUUGCUGUAGAAAAUCCAUGGGAAAGGAUUUAGGUUUUGGCAACAUUAACCUUUUACCUGCUUCACUCAAAUUGGCUCGGGGAAAAAGCAUGUCCAUUGGUCGGGGUUCAAUUGACGUUGGCCCUUGUACAACCAAGCAAAAGGAAUAAUAAUUUAUUUGAGUCUUGUUUCUCGCAAUGAUGUAUCCACCACCUUGGCCGAAAGCUUGAGACUUGGCUUUUGCGAUAAAUUGGGUAAUUAUUACAUAAAAUAUAAAUAAAUAUUAAAUUAAAAUAUGGUGAGAUGUUUUUAAUGAAAUAGCAGUUUGAAGAUGCAAUUUAAAACAUUUUAGAACUGUUACAUUUGACUAAAUAUUUUGGUUUUAAAACUUGAUUAAAUAUUGUGGUUAUGAACUGUGAUAUAAAUUAUAAUUUUAUCACGGUUUAGAAUUGUGAUAUUUUUAAAAAAAAUAUUGGGGUUCAAAUGACAUUUAGACCCCGUUUGUUUGCUGGAAAGUAGUUUCUUUUUGGAAAGUGAAUUCUGGAAAAGUAUUUUUCAAUGUUUGGUAAUGUAAUGGAAAAUAAGUUGGAAAACACUUUUCGGUGUUUUGUUAUGUCAUGGAAAAUAAGCUGUAAAAUAACUUAUUAAUAUUUUAUUUUUCUCAAGUUUAUUAAAAUAAUAAGGAACAAAUCUUACAAAUUAAAAAGUUAAAUGAGAAUGAAAUUGAAAAAAAAAUAUAAUUUCAUAAAUUAUCUCAAAUAAAAUAAAUAAUAAUCAAAAUAAUAGAGAUCAAAUCUAAAAAAUUAAAAAAAAAAAAAGAUGAAAAAUUAAAAUAAUAAUAAUCAACAUUUCAUAAAUUAUUUCAAAUAAAAUAAGUAACAAUCAAAAGAAUGAGGACCAAAUUUGAUAGAUAAAAAAAUUCAAUAAAAAAAUGAUAAGGAAAAAGCAAAUAGCAAUUAUAAAAAUAAGGACCAAAGUUAAUAUAAAAAUAAAAUUUUAAGAGAUGGAGUUGAAAAAUAAAUAUUCAAAACAAAAUAUAUAUAGCAAUUAAAAGUUUGAGGAUCAAAUUUGAUAUAAUCAGCAAAUAAUAACAUUUCUAAAUUUUUUACAAUUUCCGGAAAGUGUUUUCCAUCCAAAUUUUCCAAGAAAACACUUUCCUGAAAACCAAGCCAAAAUUUUCUUUUACUGGAAAGUGUUUUCCGUUGACCAACUUUUCUAAUGGCAAACAAACACAAGAAAGUUUGGAAAAUGAUUUCCCGGAAAUCACUUUCCGGAAAACAAAACAGCUAAAGGAAAACACUUUCCUGAAAACCAAGCUAAAUUUUUCUUUGACUGAAAUAUUUUCCGUUGACUGGAAAAUGUUUUCCGGUUGACUAGAAAGUGUUUUUCGUUGACCAACUUUCCUAAUGGCAAACAACCACAGGAAAGUUUGGAAAAUGCUUUCCCAGAAACUAGUUUUCAGGAAACAAACAUGGCCUAAAUCAAAUAUUGUGGUUUAAAAUUGUGACAUGUGUUAGCAUAUUGCUUUGAAAAGUAGAUUGACAUUUUAGAAAAUGUUCGGACAGUAGUCAAAAUGGUUCGAUUAUUUUGAUAAACGGUUAUACUGUUCUAGCUACUGUCUAAUUUUGAAAAUUUUGUGCUUUGCGCUUGAAAAUGUUUAUAAAAUUAGUUUUUGUUAAUUUGAAACUUAAUUUACUUUAUGAUUAUAGAUAGUUAAAUUUUUUACAAUUUUAACAAAACUUGGACAAAGUUUUUUCUAUAUAGUAACCAUAUCAAAGUUUCCUGGUUAAUUUUUUUUUGCAAAAAGCCAUAAUAUCCCCACUCAACAAAUUAUAACUAAAUUCAACAAAUUUUCACAUUUUAUAAUCAUAAGUAGUCUCAGGAAUGUAAAAUACACACGCACGCACACAAUGAAUAAAAAAUAAUUUAAUAAUACAAUAUUCAAGUAGUCCUAAAAUAUAUAAACAUAACUAAUCUAUCUACAUCUAUAUCGUUUACUGGAUGAUUUAGGCUCAUCAAUAGCACAAAUGGAUCCAACUUUUACACUUGCUUGAGUGACUUUGUUCUCUAGCAUGACAUCGCCAAUAGUUAACCUCUCUUUAAAGGUAUUAAGUUUAGUGUAACAAGUAUUUAACUACUUGGAUGUAACAGUGUGAACUUUGCUUUCUUUAUCAGUAUUACAAAGAUAAGACAAGACCUUUUGACCGUCCCGUAGCAUGAAGCCACCCUAAUAUUAAUAAAAUAUUAAUGUUAAAUCAAAAUAUCAAUACAUAAAACCCAAAGUUUAACAAAUAUAUGAAAAGAUUUGAUUACUUAUAAGAAUUUAAAUUUGCUGGGCAUGUUGCUCAUACUGUAUGUAUCGAGGUGGAGGAACUUGCUCGAGAUCCAAAGUAAUGACUCUGACGUGUGAUACUCAUGUAUCAAAUCAUAUAUUUUUCAUUUGUAAUCACAUGAUACAUCUUUGUAAAUAUCUCAUUUCUUUAUGUAUCUCAUUAUGAUACAUAAGCUCCAUGUUGGCUGAACCAAUUAUAAUUAUCUUUUUUACAUUUAUGAGUUAUGGUGUGCAAUGCAUCACUUGUGUCGAUGUCACUUGAAAUGUGUUGUCUGUAGUAGAACUCUUGCAUUACCCGGUCUAGACAAUGUAGCUCGACCAUCUUAAAAAAUAUCAGUGAGAUCAUUUUAUGUCCAUAUGUUCAUCCUGCUAAUGCAAACAACUAGAGUAACUACUAGUCUUUCAUUCAAAUAAGGCGUUCACAUGACAUGCAGAAUAUAAAUUUUUUAAAUAUUAAACAACAAUAAUUCGGUGAACUUUAAUGAAUUUUAUUAAACCAAUGAUUGAAAAAAAAUACUUGGAUGACAUGCUACUUGUAUAGCUCAUUCCGAUAAAAUCCCAACACGUGUUAGAUUAUUUUCAUAUACUUUAUCAGCACACUACCUAUCAUUAAAAAUAUAUCAAUUUAAUUGCAUUUUAUAAAGUUACAAUUACACAAUACAAAUACAUAUAAUUGCAAAAUAACAUCGCAAUACCUGCAUUUGAGUGAGAGAUGAAGUGUAACCUCCAUAGUCUGGAUAGUCAUAAAUGACAAUUAAGGUAUCCGUGGUCUUCCCAUAUAAAGAUGUUUCUAUGACCAUAAAUGUUAUUCAAUAAAAAUAAUUUUGACCCUUUUCAUGCAUGUAAGAUAUAAAUGUAUGUACAAACAUGCUCAGACAAUAGAUCCCCAACUAUAUAUAGGGUGGGCGUCAAAAUCAUCUAGAAGCAUUAAAUAAAUUAAAGGCAUAUAUUUAUCUAUUAGGUUAGUGAAUAAUGUACUACCAAACAAAUAAAGUAUAUAUGCUCUGACAUGCAUAUAUAACAUAUUAAGAUUAUCAUAAUGAUUCAUGCAAACUUAACAAAUAAUCAACAUAUUAGAUUCAUAAUUUAUUUUGUAUCUCUGUAGGACCUCCUCGUUUGCAUUGGUUGGUGAUGUCAUAAAUGUCUCAUCAAUCCACUUAAGAUGUAUGCUAUUCUUUUUAAUUUAGAAGGGGGUGCUAAUCCAAAUAAUCGCUUGUAUAACACAAUUCUAUUACAAACACUUGAAGAUGUGAUUGCUCAUCUAUCAAUGGGUAGUCCAAGCAAAAUCACCACGUCCUAUAGUGUCGAUGUCAUCUCUCUAUGCCUAAGAUGGAACGUGGGUGUCUCAUGUCUCCAUCGUUCAAUCAAUGCAUGGAACAAGUCGUGAUCAAGUUUGAUAUAAUUUAGACAACUGAUGUACAAAAAACUUAUCUGAAACAUUUUGUUGGACUCGGUCAUCUAGUCUCAUCUCCUUGUUUAUACGAUAAUAAAUAAUGGUCUCAUCCUACAUAAUAAUUUAAAGUAUAAAUACAUACAUACAUAACUAAAUUCAACAUAAAUUAAAAAUAUUCUAAAAUUAAAAACUAUUACAAUGUCAGUGAAUGCAUCAUCUGAUUGAUGUUGAUCUUGCAACCCCAAGAUAUAAGUGUCGGAGGGUUUGGUAGGUAUGUACUGUGAUUGAUACUCUCAAUGAUCAUAGUCAUGCUCCCUUUGCUCAAAGCGAUGCUUUGUAUGUCAAUACUCUUGUUCUCCUAGAUUGUCGUCAAAAAAUAUACACUCAGCAUAAGCAUAACAAUCUGUCAUCUCGAGUGUGCAACAUCCUAUCAAAUAAUAAUUGUGAUUGAUAUGAGACUAUAUAAGUUUAAUAUGCAUAAAAAAUAUAAUAAUAUAUCAUAACUUGAUAAAAAAUAAUAAUAUAUAUUUUGCAUACAAUUGUAUUGUCAUACAUACUUUAUUGAUUAGAACAUGUUUUUUCUAUUAUGACUUGUAUUAUUGUAUACGUCACACUUAUAAGGUGCAUGACUUUCUCUUGCAUCCAUCUCGUUGUGCAAACGAGUUAACAUUCAUUAACCACGAUCGAAUUUUCAUUUAGAUAAGUAUGCUUCAACUUUAGGUCUAGUGUGAUCAGUCCAUUCUAACUCGUUUGGUAAUGGAUGAAAUGACAUGUCAUAUGUUGAUCUAUAACUCUAAAUCAUGUAAUGAUCAGUAAUAAACUAUGUGAAGUCUAUAUGAUUCUCGGUGCACAACAUGUCAGAACAUGUAAACAUGGUCAUUGAAAUGUCUACUAUUUACCAUAUGUGCAUGUUAUAUCAUUUUAAUUGAUUGUUGAUUUAUAGCUUUAAAUCUUAUAAUGAUUAUCAACAAACUGUUUAAAGUCUAUGCGAUUCUUGGGGCACAACAUGCAAGACCAUGUGAACAUGGUUGUUGGAAUGUCUGCCAUUUUACCAUAUGUUUAUGUUUUAUCAUUUAAAUUGAUUGCUUGUAUAACUUUAACAACACCUAGUUUGAUAGGAGUGUUGAUGUAAUAUCUCACAUCGGCGGGUAAGGAGUUGGUAGCUAGUCUUAUUAGUAGCGCUGGUUGCUAACUUGUUAGAUGUGUUUUGGAGCCAUGCGUAGUCAUUAAGAACAAAUCAGUGAGGGCGGUAAGGCCUAAAACAGACAAUAUCUAGCAGGUUGGGUCGGGCUGUUAUAUUUGGUAUCAGAUUCGGCCUCACUAGUUGUUCGGUUGUGUCGACGGGGUAGUCGGGCUCCUUGAAGAGGGGUGGAUUGUAAUAUUUCAUAUCAGCGGGUAAGGAGUUGGUAGCUAGCCUUAUUAGUAGUGCUAGUUGUUGACUUGUUAGACGCGUUUUGGAACCAUGUGUGGCCACUAAGAAUAAAUCAGUGAGGACGGUAAGGCUCAAAGCGAAUAAUAUAUGACAGGUUGGGUCGAGUUGUUAUAGCUAACCUAGAACACUUCUUGCUUGGAGUCAAAUAACAUUGCAAUAUGAUCUCUUGAUCUAUCCCUACUUACUGUUAAUUCAAUCUCAAUUGUCAAGGUCAAAUAUUACCACGUUGGAUUUUAACAUUAGCUUCACAACUCUGCUUAACCCAAUAACUAUUACACCUGUCAAAUGUUAAUUGUAUUAGAGUUGAAAUAGACAUUGCACGAGCACCUUUCAAAAUAUGAUUAAAUGAUUCUAAAAGAAUAGUUGUUAUAUUACCAUUCCGAUGAACUCCAUCAUAACCUAAAGCCUGUAUUUUUUUUGUUCUCGUUCAGGCCAUUUUUUAUAUGACGAGUCUAACAUACAUAUUCUUUCAUACCACAAAUCAAAUUUGAACCUUGAAGGUUCGUAACACAUCCUUAUCAAAUCUCUUUUUGUAGCUGGGUCAUUUAAUUUAUGAUUGAAAUUAAUAACAAAAUACCUGACACAAUACCGAUGGUAUCCUUUAGGUUCAUGCCAAACUUAUGCUACUCCAUUCUUGAUGUCUGCAUUUCUAUAUGAUAUUAUAAAUAUAUUGAUUCUAGCACUAGUAAUGUAUUUUUAUAAGCAAAGCAAAAAACAUCUUCAAUAAAAAUUAUUUUCUUCAUCAAUAAUUAUAAAAGCUAAAGGGAAUAACCUAUUAUUUUCAUCAAAAGCAACUGUAAUCAAUAACUUUCCAUCAUAUCGCCCAUAUAUAUAUGUGUCAUCAACAUUGAUGAGUAGUCUACAAUACUUGAAAUCUUCAAUAUAAGAUUCAAAUGGCCAAAAUACUCUUUCAAAAAUUAUUGUACUAUCAUCAAGAUUUUCUUUAUGCAUUAAAUCAACAAUUAUUCUAGGAUUUGAUUCCUUUAUUGCCGAUAACAACCUAGAUAAUUUUUCAAAAGAUUCCUUAUGUGAACUAAAAAGAUACUUAAUUACCUUUUGUUUUGUAACUCAUGCUUUGUCAUAUGAAACUUUAUACUUGUAAUGUAAUUUUAUUUCAUCUUAUAUGCUUGCAAAUAUCAUUGAAAGCUUAUUCGUCACAAGGGUUGAUAUAGCAUUAGCAAUAAAAUUUGCAUUAAACUGAUAAUGGUUUUUUUUUUUUUUUACAAAGAUCGAAAUACAUUUGUGUCGUUCUUUUAACUUUGGUAUCUCAAAUAAAUUCGAUCUUUAAAGAUACCCUCCACACAAAUACCACUUACAUUCAGGUGCUUGCUUACAUUGGAACAAAUGUAGAGUUCGAGUGUUGGACUUUGUUUUUAAGUGAAUGUGCAAUGUGUCAUCAUUUAACUAUAUUAACUAAUUUAUCUUUACUAUUGAAUGUUUAUCCAACCUCUCACUCAGACCCUCCUAUAUGACUAAAUGCCUAAUCAUUAAAAUCACUAAAAAUAAUAAAAUUAGACCCACUAACUCUCCAAAUUCAGGAAUAUGAGGUAUGAUUUCAUCAUCAUCAUUUAGCAUCACAUUUGAGUCUAGUGUCUAGGCUUAGAAUAGUCAAAUCUAUGUUAAUCAACAAAUAGAUUAUUAAACAUAAUAUCAUCUAUCAUUUGCAGCAACUAUUUUUACAUGUACUAACUGAAUUUGAAGCAUUGAUAGAAGUUUGAACAUACACAGAUUUUAAUCGAUUAUUCACAUAGAAUAUAAAAUUCAUUAACUUAUCAAUAAUUUUCAAUGAAAUAUUUAAUUUGUCAUGAUUUUACUACAUUCAUACUUUUAUCUAUAAAAUUAUCAAGCAUAAAUAAUUACACUAUUAAUUAAUUCCAACCACACAUCCAAAAUUCCUUCGAAUUAACAUCAAUUCAUGUGGUUGUAUGGUCCUGAUGGCAUCAAUUUACAUUGAAAUAUAAGAGAAUGUUGUACGGUGGAAAUGGGUAUAAUAAAAAUGCUUCCUUGGUCUAGUUUCUUUUAAUUAAUUUCCGAAUGGAGCCUUGACGGCUGAAAUAAUUGAGGCAAUAACGUUUGAACAUGAAAAGCUCGGCCCUUGUACUGUUUACCAACAGCUCAAACGCACAAAAAUGCCUCGUGAACGAGAAAAAUAAAAUAAAAUAAAAUAAUAUUUAUGAGCUAUGUUUGUGCCUACUCAUUCCAACGGGAGGUGUCCUUUUAAUCAUUAUUAUAUUUUAAAACGCUUUAAAGGAAGAUUACUUUAUGAGCUGGUACACUUCUUAUGUGUCAUCAUUUAGAGUUUGAAUAUUGGUAGAACUUUCUACUCGUAAAAUAAUUAUAUUCUCCUAAAUACAUUAAUAUUUAAAAUAAAUAAAUAAGUUUAUUCUUUAUAUAUAAAAUCUUACUCAAGAAGAACAUCUUUACUGUAAUUGUUUUUUUUAAAAAAAAAAACCAUCUAAGAAAUAUAAUUAAAAUAAUAAGAACAUAUGGGCUGGCAAGCAUUCUGUCUUCACCCGGUUAAAGUUUUAGUAUUUUUUAAUAUAUUAAUAUUAAAAAUAAAAAAAAUUAUUUUAAUAUAUUAUGAAAUAAUAAUAAAAAAAAAACAUAAAAAGGCACAAGGAAACACCACUGCUUAACUGCGUGCUUCUAAAAACCCCACCAAACGACAUAGUUUCCUUUUUAAAAAAUGUGACCGUUAAUUUAGAAUACAAUACAAAACAAGCACACCUGUUCCUCCAAACCCAGCGAGUACUCCCCAUUCCCCUACUCUCCUUAAGUACCCAAAACGAAUCACACAAGAAGAGAGAUAAACUCCCUGCUCUUCUCUUUCUUCUGCAUACUCUUCACUGACCCUCUCUCUCUGUACUACCUUGUCAGUCUCUCUCUCUCUCUCUCUCUCCACAUGCUCUCCUCCAUUAUUAUGAACCUUUUCUCUUCCUUUUAGAAACCUGAACUCAUAUUCUUGGUUUCUUGAACUGUAAUGGGGUGUGCACAGUCUAAGGUGGAUAAUGAAGAACCGGUUUCAAGAUGCAAAGAGCGGAAAAUCUUGAUGAAAGAAGCAGUCACAGCAAGAAAUGCUUUUGCUGCUGGGCAUUCAGGAUAUACUAUUUCCUUAAAGAAUACCGGUGCGUCUUUGAGUGAUUAUGGCCAUGGAGAAGCUGAUCAAGAAUCCCAGUUUCAACAGCCUUCUUCCCUUGACUCUUCAUCUCAACCGCAGCCUCCACCACCUCCGCCUCCGCCGCCGCCGCCGUCUAUGGAUAAUUUCCCUCCACCUCCGCCGCUGCCUGACUUUUCUCCCAGUCCGAUGAAAAGGACUAUGAGCAUGCCUGAGAUUGUGAUGGAAAGGAAGGAGAUGGGUGAAUCUGUUUCGAUCGAGGAGGCGGAGGAGGAGGACGAGGAGGAGGACGAGGAGGGGGAGGAGUUGCGGAAUAGGAAUCUUAGUAGAAAGACCAAGAAUUAUGACAAUAUCGAAAAGGUUUCGCAGCGGGGCCCGCAAAGUAGUGGGAAUGUGGGACCUGGGGAGGAGGAUACGCGGCCGAGGACUCCACCAAGGACGGUGGAGAGUCAUUCCUCGGCGGUGCCUCCGAUGCCGGAGGCGAAGAACUUGGCUUGGGAUUAUUUCUUUAUGAUGGAUAAUGUGCCGGAUUCGUCCUUGGAACCAGAGGAGGAUGCGAGUAGGAGCAGGGGUAAUUUUGGAAAUGUUGAGCAUGUGGGUGUUGGGUUCGGCGGGGUUGGGGGUUUGAGGGGUGGGGUUGAUGGUAGUGGUAAUGAGAUUGAUGGGGUUGAGCCAAAGACGCCGGAGAAGGCGGAGGAGAAUAUGGAGCCUGUGGUGAAAGAGGAGAAGGGUGGGGAGAAGAAGGAAAGGAAGCAGAUUGAGCAUUCGAUAACAGCCCCACCGGAUUUUAGGGCGGUGGGAAGGAAAGUUCCUAGUGUGAAUUUGAUGCAGGUUUUGAAUGAAAUUGAUGAUCAUUUCUUGAAAUCAUCAGAAAGUGCACAGGAUGUUUGUAAGAUGCUCGAGGCCACCCGCUUGCAUUACCAUUCUAAUUUUGCCGAUAAUCGAGGUAUAAUUGGCUUGCAUUGGCUGCUUGUGUUUAAAUUUUUUGUUUACUUGAUGUUGUGUUUUGAUUAUUUAACAUGUGGAUGCUUAACUGUUUAUGUUUUAAUAGUAAUUUUACGCACACUUGAAGUUUGCUAACCAUUUUAUAAUUAAGUUUCUAAAAUGUGUAUACUUGUUGUUUGUGGAAAACUGAAGCUGAAAGCAUCUGUGCUUUUAUUGAAUGAUAUAUAAUUUGUAGGCAUUUUGGAUUUGUUAUUCUGAACGGCGGCAUCUGCUUUUUACACCAGUUGGACUUUGUUAUGGCAUCUUCAUCUUUUGUGGAAGCUUUUUUUUUAGAACCUCAGGCUUCUUAUUGGUUUUUUUCUUUUCAAAAGCAAGAAAAAGGUUCAUUUAUCAACAAUACUAGAGCCCCCUUUCCAAUCACUUGAAAAUUAUGAAAUACUGAUGUGCUGUGCCUGUAAAGAAGUUGGAAGCAUAUUAUUACUCUGCGAAGAUAUUUCCUUGACAUUUUUGUUUUCCUUUUGUAAUUUUUUUGUUUUUACUAGUAUCUUUAUUUUGCUGAUAUGGUAUUCAACAUUUGCAGGACAUAUUGAUCAUUCCGCUAGGGUUAUGCGUGUUAUCACUUGGAAUAGGUCAUUCAAAGGUGUACCUAGUGCUGAAGGUGGAGAGGAUGAACUUGAUUCUGAAGAUUAUGAAACUCAUGCUACUGUUUUGGAUAAGUUACUGGCAUGGGAAAAGAAACUUUAUGAUGAAGUAAAGGUGUGCCGCAUCAUUUAUUAGUUUGAUUUCUUAUGUUUGCCCGUCAUUUUGAGUUUCUUGUCCCAACUAUUAGUUGUGCUGCUCAAACCUAUCAGAAAACGGUCAGUUUCCUUAUAUGAUCAGAUUAAAAGUCUAAAGUUUCUAAACAGACUCUUAUAGAUGCGUGACACUUUCUUGUAAAUCUCAGCCAUGGUGCGAAGCAAAUUUUUUUUUCUUUUGUUUCCAUUUGUUUUUCUGGGGCAAUGUUUAUUUCAUUCUGCUAUUGUCAUGCGCUGGGGUCUUAGUGAAGUUUGCUUAAUGUUGAUUAGCAAGGGGAGCUUAUGAAGCUUGAGUACAAGAGGAAGGUUGCUUUGCUAAAUAAGCAGAAGAAACGUGGUGCUAGUGCUGAAUCCCUGGAGAAAACAAAAGCAGCUGUGAGUCAUCUUCAUACAAGAUAUAUAGUUGACAUGCAAUCCAUGGACUCAACCGUUUCAGAAGUGAAUCAGAUACGUGAUCAGCAGUUGUAUCCAAAACUCGUUGAUCUUGUUGAUGGGUAAGCUUUUGUUCCGAAAAAAAUGAAAAAUUGAAAUUAUACUUUUAUCUGUUCUAGUUUCCUGACAUAUAUCCCUCAAAACUUUAUAUGGUUGAUUUGUAUUGCUUGUUUUUCUUUAUAAUUCAUGCCAAUAAUCUGCAUACCAGCGCGUUUAUAAAGUGAACACUCUAUAUCCUGGCUAGAACAAGAUUAUGUGUGCAACAUUAGCUACUUUCUUGUUUUGCUCUCCUAAUGAAGUGGGCUGUAUGAUGUGGACUGAAAAGUUUGACGUCUUAAAAGUUUGACAUUUAUGAACUGUUUGGUGGACUAGAUAAAAACCUGGAUUUGAUUAUGUUCCUUUUAAUCUUUAGGGGUGGGGUUUCAUCCAAUACUGCCAUAUAGAUGUUAAAUGCUGAACCACGUAUGAAUUUGCCCAUUGAUUUGUUGUUCUAUAGCUAUCUAAUCUCUAAAUGAGGCAAUAAUAGGUGGUGCGUGUCCCAUCAUGUUGGCUACAUGCAGCUUCUUCCUUUUCCCUGGUAUUCUUUACUUUUGAAUUAUCUUAGUUUGUUAUCGCAAUACCACCAAGUCUCAGUAUUCUUUAGCUAGGUGUCUGAAAGGUAGUUGUUUUUAGUCAUGGGAGAUUGAUCUUAUUGGAGAACCCAACAAAAAGUAAUGCCAUGAUUUCAAUAAUGAUGGCAUGCCAUUUCUCUACUUAUUUACUUGUAAAACUCUGAAUGCAAUACUGCAGGAUGGCGAAAAUGUGGGCAAGUAUGUGUAUGCAUCAUGACAGCCAAUUGAAGAUUGUCACAAACCUUAAAUCCCUUGAUGUCAACCAUGCAAUCAAGGAAACAACCAAACACCAUCAUGAGCGCACAAUCCAACUUUUGAAAGUUGUCCAAGGAUGGCUUUCACAUUUUGAAAAGCUUGUGACCCACCAGAAACAAUACAUUCACACUCUUACUAGCUGGUUAAAGCUAAAUCUGAUCCCCAUUGAAAGCAGCUUAAAAGAGAAAAUAUCAUCUCCACCAAGAGCCCAGAAUCCCCCUAUCCAAGCCCUUCUCCAUUCAUGGCAUGACUAUUUAGAAAAGCUUCCAGACGAGCUUGCCAAAUCUGCUAUCUCAUCAUUUGCAGCUGUGGUAGAAACCAUAGUACAUCAUCAGGAAGAAGAGAUGAAGCUAAAGGAAAAGUGCGAGGAAACCAGGAGGGAGUAUUUGCGCAAAAACCAGGCAUUUGAGGAAUGGUACCAAAAAUACAUGCAGCGGAGAACCCCUACCGAUGAAACAGAUGCUGAUAGAGGGGAAGAUGCAAACCCCAAUCCUGUUUCUGAGAGGCAAUUUGUAGUAGAGAGUUUGAAGAAGAGGCUGGAAGAGGAAAUAGAAGCUCACGGGAAACAUUGCCUCCAGGUAAGAGAGAAAUCAGUUGGAAGUCUUAAACUCCGCUUGCCUGAGCUAUUCCGUGCCAUGUCAGACUAUGCUCAUGCCUGUUCUGAUGCUUAUGAGAAACUAAGGUCCAUCACACAGUUGCAGAAAUCAGAUCGUAAUCGUGCACAAUAAAGUAAGCUUUUAGUUAGCAAAAUACUACUUAAGUUAAUCCUAGCCAGAUGUUGCACAAAUGUACCUUUUCUCCGAGACAGUCAGGUCUUGUUGCGAUUGGCUAAUGUUAUUUUUGCUGUUUUGUGAAAAAAUUUUGGUUUUAUAUUCCUCCAAAUGCAUCUAUGCACCCAGGGAAGGGGUGAUUCUGUAGAAGAACACAAGUUAUUUCAUGUUUAAUAGUCGCUAAUGGUGAAUUUGAAGGACACAUGGUUACAAUUGCCUCCUGCUUCAGUGACCUUUCAGGGUUCUGAUAUGAUAGUAUAAUACUGUUAUCUUGCCACCAUGUGCAGCUAGUAACUAAAACACCACAUUCCUAU